GAGUAUCUUCUUUUGUACUCCAAUGCCCUAGAAGGCACCUAACGUUGGUAGAGAUAGGUCAUUUAUACCGUGUUUCGUGGUAAAGGCUUCUUUGUCUAAUGUAAGCUUGUCAUUUCUUUUUUAUUGCGCCACAAGCACAGCACCUCCCUGAUUGUAGAUUGGUGUCUCAAUCAAAUAGGUCAAUGGUUACACUUGACUUGCUCAUAACUCACUGUAGUAUAUACUUGCCUAGUAGCUUGGCGUCUAUUUACUUGGCCUAUGAAUACCCUUGUCUAUACUAAGCUUUGCCGGUGGGAAAGUAGGCAAUCAGAAAAGGAUUGAUCUAGCCAUACCAAUAAUGUAAAUGAGUGCACAUCAUAUAGAACAGAGUCAAGUAAACAAAACAACCACUGCGUAAACACCAAUAAAAGCAUUAGCACCCCGGCGAACUCCACUCAAUUCCAUUUAGUAAACUUGGGAGCAAUUGCAGAAAAUCAUAUAGCUUGUGUGACAUUAAUAGAAUACAGACAGUAACUAAGCAUCUUACUAAGUUGCGUGCAUGAGAUGUUGUAGCGUAAGGUGGCAGUAGAUUCACAAUCCUAAAGUCAAUAAGCAAGGACAAAUGAGCAAGCAAGGGAACAAGGCCUCAAUCUGAUUCUUUGUUGUCUGCUCGUGUUUUCGUCUGCGCUAACGGGAAGGUUUUCUCCUAUAGAAACAGGUAAUUACAGAAUCAGAGGCUCAAGCAGAAGACAGAUAUCAAACAAGAUCAGGAGCGUGAUAAUAUGGUUAAGAUUCAUAGAGUGGAGUUAUUGUCGACUUUUGGGCAUCAUAUCUUCUUUCUGGAGCACUAAGUCCUUCAUACUCUCUUUAUACUGCCCCGGCCUCUCCUUCCAGACCUGCUUGCUGCAACAGAACUCGUCGACGCCUAACUUAUCUCUCUAUAUGACUUAGAGCUACAGCACCAACUACAAGCCAAUCAGACGAGCAACUACCGAGUUUUGUUCGGGACAGAAUCAAUACCGGCUGAAGCGUUAAGUCAUGCCAGUAAAGUCAGUAUUGCCAGGCCCAGUAUAAAGAAAGCGGGAAAGAAAGUCUAGUUUGAAAGUCAAGUCGUAUCUAAAGGAAGGGUAAUCUACAGAAGGGCAAUCAUCUUAGAGCGGAUUCAGGAUUCUAAUUAGGAUCAUAAAAGUUUGAUAAGAUGAGGAAGCUGUUCGAGUUAGAAGUAACUGUAGUGGCGAGGCCCGUUACUUGUGUAGUAUAUGCUUGGCGGGGCCGCUCUUCAUGCACCUCUUUGAACUCUGUCUCCCCACAGGCUCCUUAGCGCAACUCAAAACUAAGCUUGGCCCUUCCCUUCUGCUUAGAGUCAACUAACCACUCUUGUUCGUUUUCUACCAUCAUUCUUCUCCUCUUUUUUAUAGCUUUCCUUCCUUAGUAGCUUGGUCGGUAGUUAUAACCAAGUCAAGUCCUUUAUUCACCGGUUUUAGUAUGAGUUAGAGGCGAGUCGACUCUUCUAAGACUGGCAAGGAAGCACUAAGUGGCCCAGCCCAAACCUUGUAUACGUGUCAACAGAUUGUUCCGCUCUAGCUCUUUGUCUACGUGUCCCAAUUCUAGUCUGUUUGAGUUGAAUCCGUGAAGUCUACCUAUGCUCUUGUUCUUGCUCCAACGUUAGCUUCAUAUUUCGAUUGCCAGAAAGUAUAUAUCAAUGGGUAAUCUUAUCUAAGGGUAAUCUUAUCUAAAUCUAUGCCCUUUGACCUUUUGCUUUUGUUCCUUACCAUACGCAAGAUAGAGAAAAUUCCGUAUUGGGCAAGGGUUGUGUAUUUACUGGUUUAUUUACCUGGUGCUCCUUCCUUUCAUAAUUGAGUUGAAGAGGGUAAGAAUGAAACCUUGAAUGCACUAGCAAGUUCUUUAUUCUGGCCCUAUUCUUAUUACUUACCUAUUUAGGAGUGGAAUAUAAUAAAUACAGGUACCUGAGUUAGGAGUUCAAUAGGAGUUGAGAGUGGAAUGAAAUACCGCCAAGCUACUACCGCCAGAACAAGAACACACUCGUAUAAUGUAUUAGUUGAAGUUGUUACCGGACAAGCAACGGGACAAGCGACUACUUCAGACGCAGAGGAGAGAAAGAUAACUCCCUGUAUGAGAGCUAUUCUUUGAUAAGAAAGGGUGCACAAUGAUAGGUAGGCAAGGUAAGCACUGCGAGGAAAGUUGACUUAAGUGCGGGUAGGGUAGGCUAAGACAUAAGGUAGUGAGAGUGAAAGCUAUUAGUGGUAGACUUAGUUUAUUGAGUUAGGUCAAGAGAGGUAGUGGUUGGUUUCUUAGUUGUUAGGCGCAUUCCCACAGUUUCUAGUUCAAAAGCACUAGUUUCGAGGUGAUUCCCACUUUUGAUUGAAAGUAUGAUAAGCACUUGUGUUAGUUUGGAACCAAGUAAAGACAGGCAACCAGGUAAUAAUGCAAGGUUUGUUUCCUUCCGUGGGUUAAAGGAUAACAGUGAAGUAUAGCAGUAUUUAGUCCAAUUCUUUGACUUAUAAGUGCAAUUCCUGUCAGCAUUGGUUGAGGUUAGGUGGUCUUGUUAACAGUGAUUUCAAUCCAAUGGUACUAGUUUCUUGCCUUGUAUUAGUGACUUGGUGGUUUAAAGCAGAGAUACAGUUUUUCAGUAAAGGAAGGGAGCCUAAAAGCCAGUAGCUGAAGAGUAGGUUUCAGAAUUCGAUAAAGUAAUGGCAGACUAACAAUCGAACAUAGGGUUUUUAGAGCUGUAGCCUAGGACUCAAAGCCGGGAAAGGGCAGACCAAUCGACCGAGACAGGUAAUUAGAAUAGAAGUGGUGUCAGCGAGGCAGGCUCAUAGGCUCAAUAAGGAAUGGGGUUAUAGCCCUGUUGGUAUUAACAUAAGAUUGGAAGUUAGGAUCGCUCCCAAGAGAGUAAGAAAUAAGAUCCGGAAAGGUAGACUUAAAACAAGGAGAUAGAUUUCGCAGUGAGAGCCUUAAAGGCAUUAGUGAAAGGCUAAGUUGUGUGUUUGCUUUUUAGGUUGGAUUACCGGUUUCAAGUCCCAUUCUGACUUAUGUCUCUCACAAGGCUCGAACAGUGCUAUGAUAGAAUCAAAUCAAUACAAAUAAUAGUUCUUCUAAUAGUUCUUUCACUUAUUGAAUAACAAGGCUAGAAACUCGUUACUAGAAAGAAUCAUACUAAACGAAAGGGAAUCAAACACAGAAGUUGUAAAUCAACUGGAACUUUAGCCACUGAUACAGAUCUUCUUCCACCGACUCAGUACAGACACAGUAGGAAGAACAUUCCUACGAUAAUUACAUCUUUUAGAAGCUUAUAUUAGAGACUUGAUUUUGGUACACCUCGCAUCAAAGCAGUAGAAUCUGUCCUGUGUUUGGGCACCCGACCUAUACAGCAAUCACCCUCGCACCGCUCGUCGUCAACAACUUCCACUUUAUUGCUCUAGUAUAUGCUUGGCUGUUUCCAAAUGAAACUACUCCCCUGAUAGAGUAUGCUCCCACUCUUUAUGUAGUAGUGGAAUUUCAAUUGCCCCUACUUUGAAAGAAGCCCCCUUUUCCUCUCUUGCAACAAAGACUUUUAUUGCUCUCAUCUGAUAUGCACUUGAGAGUUGAAGGCUUGAAGACCAGACUGAGACCUAUACUAAGCCCACGGAGCUCCCCAAAAGUCGACUCGGCUACAAACAAAGUGAGUGCUGAAAAGGACUGGUAGAAUGGAGUUUCUUACUAUCAGAAUGGAAUUACAGAAUUUAUAGCACUAGGUAAGUAAGGUGUGUUGGCUUAGAGUAUCUUUCUUGCACCUCACUAUAAAGAAAGCUUGCCCCAACUCUAUCUGACUGGCCUCUCUCUCCUUGCAAAGAAAUAUGUAGGUAUUCUUACCGCGACUCCGAUUUAGUGCAGAGGUGAGACUACUCCCAACAAGUCUUGUUCUUGUGCGAGUCAAGUCUAGUUCUGGGAAAUCCUAUAGAAAUAAGCCCCUGCCCCUUAACUAAACCAAUGGUUCUCCUCGUAUUGAGCUCCCGCCGCUAGUAAUAAGCGAACUUCAUUAAUUGCCUUAACCGCUACAUGGGCAUGAGAUCCUUACAGAUAAAGAUCUUCUGUUGGGCCUGUACCCGCUCGAUAGCCAUUAUUUCUUAGGGCCUUAGAGUGAUAGAUGCGCUACUUAUGUAUUAGGGCCUUCUAGUUUGAAUUGAAUUCUUUCCUCAAUUAGUCACACAAGUUCAGGGUCUGUUUCCGUUUCAGAAUGAUUUGUAUCCUUAACAGAGGUAGGCAAUGGAAGUCGCCAAAACUAGAUGUAGUACGGGAUGCUCUAUAUUAUAGUAUAGGAUAUAGAAAUUGACAACCCGAACCGACCUAUACAUGAAGGGAACUUGACUUUCCAGCUCCUGCUUCUAUAGUUGACAUACUUGUUAGGGUGUGGGGUGCCUCUAUUCUCAAGUCGGGGCAGAGAAAUAAGAAUGAAAGAUAUCUGGAGAAAAUGCAUUAUCACAGCCAAUAGGUCAUUUGCGACUUGUUGAUGAUCCGGAAACCGCUUCUGAUCUUGUAACUACUGAUUAUCCUGAUCACUCUACUUACUACUCUAAAGAAGGGAAUCUCCUCUCCACUAGUUCAUAGGGAAUUCCUCAGCUAACCAAGCGACUAGUACUGAGGCCAAGCGUAUACUUUAGAAUGGAAUUUGAAGCCCUUAUAUUAAGUCGGCGAGGCAAGAAGAGAAGAGAUACUGACUUGACUCUAAAUCAGGUGUUAAAGCCAACAACUAGAAAUCUGGGUGUACCCGUGUAGAGGUGAAACUUAGAGAAAGAUGGUGUGAAAACUGGAUAAGGAUCUGAAGCUGAAGGUCGCGUCAUCAAUGGGGGUAAUAACCUUAGGAGAAGUUGCUCUGUCACAUUCCUCACCGCACUCGUACCCAACGUAUGAAGUACACCACCCAACCCCCAUGCCUAUGAAGUAGCAGAAACCCUUCUUUUGAGUGUUUUAAGGCACCAAGCAUAUACUCAUGAAUGUUGCGCGGCAGAGAGCUCUAUGGCUGUGGGGAUCCCUCCUUUAUUAGUAUGAAAGUAUAAGACCGGAUUUCUAGUUUCAUCCCGAGUGUCAUCUAAGUUGGAAGCAGUGCCCGAGUAAGCAGAUGGAGUUGGAAGCUGUGCCAAAGUAAGCAGUUAGAGCAGAGCCCCCAAACAGGACUUGCUAGAGUAGUAGCGAGUUGCUUGGCUCUUCAAACAGAGUAGAGUGGAUUUUGGUGCUUCUUCAAGUCCAGAAGUGUUCUGAAGCCAACACCGAGUGAGUUGGGGCAAUCUGAUAGUCAAGGAUUUUAUGCAGUAGAGAGUUCGUCAGCGGGAAGUGGAUCUGCUUUAUUGAGUUCAGUAGUUCUGGUUCUGAAAGAAAAUAGAGUUCGGGUGCUUGGCAGUACCUUAGUUGUAUAAGAGAAUGCCCUUCUUCAGCGCUAACACUUACUUUAGCGAGUCCGUUAGCAGAAGCCUAAGCUUGUGGAGGUUAACUCCUAUUUCUAUUUGUUGGAAGUUAAGGUCCGAGUACCGUUGCUAACUUAUAUUACAGUAGGCGACGAGAGAUAGGUUCGGGGAAGUCAAGUUCAGAGUUUAGAUUAGAGCCAGCAUAAACAGGAUCGGAAUGAAGUCUCUUCAGCUGGCGUCGAGUUCUGGUGAAAGAAUCCGCUGUAUAAAGAUGCUGUUAGGUAUAAACGUUAAGGAGCAAGUAAAGUCUUGGAGAGUUCGGGGAACAGAACCCGAAGAAAUAGAAUUAGUAGUUUCAGGUCAAGGCCAAACAUAUGAAGCAGUAAGAGAAGCAGUUUAUGAAGUGUUACCAACGAAAGGGCGUUAACUUGGCGAGUGGAAUCCCCCUUGUAGAAUGCUUAUCUUGGUCCUUGUAGAAUCCUUAUCUUGUUGGAUCAAAAUACGGAUCUAAAGCAGCAAGCGGUGGCGUUGAACAAAACAAGUGUUUCUUUCGGGCUACAAAUGCCAUAAAACAUCCUGGGCAAGAUAGGUUAUUUGCCAUAAGAGGAGUUGCACAUAGGUCUGGAGACGAGUUAAUUCACUCUCCUAAGCUUCUCCAUUAGUAGUUUCGCUUGUUGGGUUUACUGCCCUGCCCGUCUUGCCUUGCACUCUAACUCGAAUAAUGCGCACAAACUAACAAAAAGUGCAAAUAGAAUUUGGAUUGGGUAGCAGAACACCAACAGCAGUAUCAAAAACGGGGAUCAGGAGAAGGAUCAGUUCAUAAGUAAGGUUAAGGAAGGCGACUAAGAAAGCACUUGUUCUUUUGUCAAUAGAGAAAACCUGUCCGAGGUAAGAAAUAGAGAGAAAAGCACCUGUACGGGAUAGUAAAUGUCCUGUAUUUGCAAGUGCUAGCAAGCGAGUAUAAGAAGCAAAUUAUGUUUAGUCCAACUCAGGUAAAUUCGAACUUUCAUAUACACUUUCAUAUAAGAGAACUCGGCACUAGGUGUGGGUUAGUUACCGAGAAGUUGGGACAGAAAGGCAUAAAUAAGGCAAAGCAACUACUUAUGAGCAAGUCCGAGAGUUUGACCCGACCAAGUAGUAGUAACAGAGUAGAUAGGAUGAAACAAGCUGGAUCAAAGAAAGGUGUUGUCGACUUGAAUCCUAUUAAGUAAGAAGAUAAGCUGUAAUUGUACCAAUCAUCAGUAGGAUCUGGAUCAGAAACAGAAGAAAGUGAGUCAGCAGGAACAGUGUGGUAUCAAAGUGAAGGUGCAAGCGCGUAUAUCGGUCGAAAGGAAGCCAAAGCAUUAUAUAUAGAAAGGUCAAUAUUAGACACUUAUAUACUUAAGGAGCAAGUAAAGGUGUGCGAGUAAGGUACUAUAGCUAAUUGUUCGUUUUAGGUCGGGGAAGAAGAUAGUCUACGAGUUCCAUAAGCGGAAGCGAGGUGUCAAUCAGUAAAGAGAGGUUAUUGGCCAAAGUCAAAGGCUACUCAAUAAGAUUAUGUUAUCAAGUAAGGUUAAGGCAAUGUUGUUUGUUUUGUUGUAUAAAGAAAAGAAUAUGAAGAAAGAUCAGUAGCAGGUAAUAUUCCAGAGUUCUAUACUAUAAGGUGUAGUGGGUAAGCUCGGUUAAGCUGUCAAUAAGUCCAUUUUCGUCGAGAACACUGAUUCCCUUUAUUAACCUGAACCGUUUGCUUACUUCCUAAAAUCCGCGAAUCCUUCUUGCGCAAUAAAUUGAGGAGCACCCGGUAUAAGUAAAUACACUGCAUCCCUUAAUUGAGAUGGAGCUUCCACUUAAGGCCAGAUAUUGAUUAUUCUCUUAUUCCAUUCCCUUAACCCAGCAUUCAUCUAUCUUUCUUGCGCCGCUACUUGUUGCUACGCCUAAGCUUGUUCCGUUGUUUGUUUGUUCCGUUCAAAUCGAAAUAGUUAGGUGCGUGCGGGUGCUUGCCAUCCGGCCUUCCCUACUACUAAUCUCCACCGCAUAGCCAGCAACUCCAUCUUUGUUGCAAAGGUCAAAGAGGGACUACGGAGCCACUGAGGAAGUAGCAGAGGCCUCCACCAAAACCUCAUUGUGGAAGUAUGGAUGAGAAAUGAAUCAAUAUACAGAUUGGAAUAAGAGAUGGUGGUAGAAACAUUGGAAUAAGAGAUGGUGGGAACGUUCAAGAAAACUGCCAGCUUCAUCCCAGUCUGCAUUUGCCAAAGCUUUAUCACUCAACUAAUACUGUUGACCUAAAAACGGUUCGCCAUACAGAAAUAUAGAUAUGAAAGACUGGUGAGAGGGAAAGAGCGCUCUAUAGGUGUAUUGGAUAGGGAAGGCGAAAAAAGGCCUAUAUCAGAGUGCUUUAGCGGCUUUCUUUACGCAGGUAUUAUUCUUGUCUAGGUGCGGGGCAAGAGCUAACCGUCGCCGAGAUUCAUCGAUUUCUGAAUCAAUCCACUUCUACUCACCUCGACCGAAGUAGGUAGGCAAUCCAUUUAUUAAUCAAUCCACUUCUCCUCCUGCAGUGCCGAGAUUCAUCCAUUUAUUAAUCAAUCCACUUCUACUACAUAGGGAAACGGAUAGUCACUCUUAUUAUCUUUAUUGCUUCAUCCUCUAGGCACCAUUAUGAUACUUGAGAUUCUGUACUUACUAUACCCGAUAAAGAAGAAGGAAUAUGUAAGAAGCGGUUUUGUGAGAAGUUAGUAUACCAACCCAAUCUCGAUCAAACAAAGUGGAAGGGGUAAAUAGUGUGUUACACAUGUCCUAACCCAAAGAUCCGCUUUCCUCUGGUCAUUGCCUAAGUCAGCUUAGCUUCGACUCAGUCUAUUGCUUCAGCAGAGUUAUUAGAAAGAGUUACAUUCGCUCGCCUUUCCCAUAAUGACUUGGCUAGAAUCCAAUCAGGUCCAUCAAUCAACAUCAAAUCUGGACUUGAGACCAUCAGGUAUAAGACUUUAGGCUGAGCGCCAAUGCCACUUGGGCCGCAGUUGGAAUUGAAUGGUACUGUACUUUGGUGUAUCAGUAAGUGGGUAAUCUGAGUUUCGAUUCUUUUAGUGGGAGGUUCAAAACAAAAAAGCAUUCCAAAACCCUUCUCUCGAGUUUGAGUAUACCCAUUACCAGAAAAAGGACGGGACACAUCAGGAUAGCCGCCCCGCUAAGUAAGCAAAAAGAGCGAAAACUCAAACUGUGCCUUCCUUCUUCUCAAUCAAUAAGAAAUGUCAAACUGUGCCUUCUCUUCUUACUGCUGCUAAAGCCGUUGAUUUGAAAGAUGGAGUCUAUGUACAAUGCUUUCGAAUCAGAUAAAAGGAAGAGUCAGAAGCAAUAUGUUUCAUUAAUGGAAUUAGUGUGAUCUAACUCUCGUGCCCAGCUAGAUCGGGUUGCUCUUCAUUACUGCUUUGCUUUUGUUUGUUUGCUGGGAAGGGGUUUUAUGGAUAACAAAGAAGACCUCAUGCCGCCCGGUCCUGUUUCUGUUUCUGGUUGGGAUCGGAGGAAAGAGAAACUCAAGAUGAACCCGCUCAAAUGUGCGUUGGGGGCCCCGGGACUGAAGGAAGUAGGUUUUCAUGGAAUAACCAAACUCGUAAAAGAAAGAGUGAGGCGCGAAUGUGAAUAGCUCUUUUGGAUUCCCCCACUACACGGUUAGGAGGCGGUGAUUCCUUUCAGAGUAAAGAAGACAUCUUCAUAUAACGUCUGAAACAAAGGAUUCUCAAACCAAUCCAUCCCGAACUGAUCCAAAAGUUAUUGCUAUUCGGCUCCAGCAGGUUCAAAAGAGAAUUACGGAGAUUGAAGAGAUCGAAUUCCUACCGGGACCCCUUGACUCAUAGCAAGAAAAAAGUAAGGUGCUGAAAGCCAGUGAUACACUGAUGGUUCUUUUUGUGCACAGGGACUCUGCCUUUUCCCUCGCCAUAAUAGUCGCUGCUCUUUGAGAAUUCUCAUAGCUUUUACAAGAGCCAAACUCCACUUAUUAGCUUUGACGGCUCCAUGCUGUUUGCGUCGUAAAAAACGGAUAUCUCCUUUUUCCCAGACAGGAAAGCAUAAUGAAGUUAAGUAAAGUAAACACACUUAUUCAAAUAGAAGUUCAUUAAUCCAGAAUAUUAGUGUAACAUCCUUAGCUUAUUUAUCGGGGGUAUGAUCGACACCAGUACAAACUCAUAAAGGACCUUCAGCCAGCGCUAAGACCAUCACAGGCAAAAACUCACCCUCUAUCUUAUGUUUUGCUUUGUCUUUAUCUCCCAAGAUUAGAGGAUUCUCCUUCUUUGUACAUUAGUGAGGGGAUAGAUCCGGACAAGCACUGCCACAGGAACAGUGCCAAUAUGCUAUAGGUGUCGGCGAUAGAAGAAAGAGGAGUUUCUUAGAAGAAGCCGCUCGACAAGAGGGUUCGAUAAUAGGGUACUGUCGAUGAAGAUCCAAAAAGCCUUUAUGCAUGCAUCUCCGUACAAGUGGAGGCCAUGGUUUAUGAUUGAAUCUCAAAGUCGAGCACAUGUGAUAAGAAAGUGCCUCUUUCAAAGGAACGAACAGCUUUCUCAUCUAAAACACUUUUCUUCAAUGAGCUUCUAUCUUAUGGGGUUGCAUGCCCUCGGCAAUGCUUUUUGACUUGACUUUCCCCCGCUUGACUCUUGAGAAAAAGGAGACUGCUAUAUCACCAACGCAGAAACUGACAAAAGCUAGGGGAUUGGCUCCGGGUGUUCCAUGCUUCAAUUACUAGCUCUGAUUCUGGAUUUCCUUCCCGGUAGUCUGCAUUCUUUCUCCGUCUAUUGGCAUUGAGUGAAGAGAUUCAUUCUCAGAGGUUUGUUAGUUCUAGUGAUUUGACCCUUCCUGGGCUGCCUAUGGAAUGUGGAUCAAUAAUCUCCUAAUGAACUAAACCCUUCAGGAAGACUAUUACUAGCGGGAAUAGGAAGAGGACAGGUAUUGACUCCAGAGAUGCUUCUGAUUCAACAAUUCCAGCUCUUACUCUAAAAAACACUUGAUUAUUUGACUUUAAUGACUCUCUUCUGGGGCAGGCUCCUCCAAUAAGCAGGACUGGUACAAAAAGGACGUAUUUCCAUUCUUUAGGGAAAAGAAAAAGAAGGUGCGUUGCCGGGCCGAGUACGAAGUGGCCAACUAACAGAAGAGAAACGAGACGACAGACCGGCUCAAAGAUGCUUACUAUUGAAUCUUCUAAUGAACUUAUUCCCUCCAUGAAGACUGAUUCGCCCGAAGCUAUCCCUAGACUUAAAAGUGUUCGAGUGCCCGCAGAGAACAGCUUCAAAUCAAAGCUAUGAUUCUCAUUGAUUCUUAGGCUUUAUGAUUGGAUAUCUCUUCCAUUAAUAAUCUCCACUUCCACUGGAUAUCUCUUCCAUUAAUAAUCUCCACUUCCACUUCAUAAGAUAGGGAAAGAGCUAUGAGAUAGGGAAAGAAAGAGCUAUGAAAUAGGGAAAGAAAGAGCUAUGAGAUAGGGAAAGAGCUAUGCAUGGGAAAUACAGUGUUCAAUUCGAAAAGAAGUGCCUAUUUCAAAAAGAGGACGGACUUCUUUCGUAGAAGUUAUGCUGAACAGGCAAGGGGGCAGGAGACAUAUCUCUUUAAGAAGGAAGGAAGAACGGAACAGUCUACUAAUUCAAUAUCAUAAUGGAUUCUCUGGAUUUCUCUAGAAAAUCAUAAGUGUUAGGGAAGAGUGGAAUUCGAUUUCUGGCUUCUGUGCUCUGAACAAGCAAGGAUAGCUCGCCCUGUAUUGCAGUCUUUCUCUUAAAUGGAACCGAAACACUCCGGUCAGAAGAUAGAAUGAGAGCUUGAAGGAAAGAAAGUAGGUAGCGUAGGUUCUAUCCAAACUACUGCCCUGUCAUAGCCGAAACUGCGGCUUUCGAACUUGAUUAUAAAUGUGGGAUUCCUCUUUUCCCGGCCUUAUUAGGCCACUGAUUCUAGUUAAGCCAAUCUAAUCACCUGAACGAUGGGGAGAGUUUCUUCACAAACGGAUUUCCGCCUUGACCUCGACUGAGGAUUCCUUCCAAUAUCUAUCUUUCUUCACUGGCCAAACUCACCCUCUUUCUUGCUUUUGACUGUUUUCCAAAAUGAAAGAAAUAUAGGCAGUGAAAAGUUGGAUUGGAUUCUCUUAGGUCGAUGUUACAUGCGGGAAAACUAGGGGUUGUGCCUAUGAACUCUUCCUAAGGCUCUGGGUGUUGUGCCUAUGAACUCUUCCUAAGGCUAUCGAUAAGGGAUUGAUUCUAUUCAAAGACUGCUUUCCUUCUUGUCCACGCUUUCUGUUACUUGCCUUAAUGAGAGGGCCUUAAGAACUUUUAGCUGACCCAUCAAACUGGAAUACUGAUCUAUUCGAAUAGCUGGUUUUCCACCCCGUGCAGGCGUCCUAAAACUCUCGGAUUAUGCCAAUCAAUAGGUUUCAGUAUUUUGAUGCCGGAAAGUAGGGAAAAGAAGCAUUUGACCACCCGAGCAUAAGUUCUCCAUCCAAGUAAGGAGUGAGUCAUUAUAGUUACCAUUCUAAGUAUUCUAAAUACCCGGAACAGGAAAGAUGCCCCGAAGAUCCACCCGCACACCAGCAGAUUGAAAAGUGGCACGCCUUUGAGAUAUAAGUUGAGAAAAUGCCAAACCAAAGAAAGAUGAUUGAAAAGGUACUGAAAGAGCAUCGGUAAGCCUAUCAAUUAGAAGUAAAGCCGGGCAGGCAUAACGCAAGGUAAUACUUGGAAAGUCAAAUAGAAAUAGAAGAGGAAUAGAGUUGUUUCAAGUAUCAUAGAGGAAUAGAGCAGUGGAAAGUAUCAUAGAGGAAUAGAGCAGUGGAAAGUAUCUAGAGCAGUGGAAAGUCUCAUAGAGGAAUAGACCGAGUAGUUGAGCAGGCGUGCAAGAUGCCUUUGCAGUGUAGCCUAGGUAGAAGCUAAACAUAAUGGACGGUUUAGCAAGGUCAAGGACAUAGGAUGGCAAGCUAGCUUUUGAUUCCACUAUACAUCUGAUUUCUUCUUUCAGAAUUAUCUCGUUGCGAAACACUCAUUAUUCUUUUGGAUUCAUUUGGGCUUUUGCUCCUAUGGUAUGAGUCUAAAGUAUAAGUCAGUCUUGUUAAUGAAAAAUAGUAUCAAUGUGGGGCCCAUUCCAUUUUGUCGAAAAUAUGGAACUCACACUAAACGAUCCGUGGUACAAUGACAGCUGAUUAGACUCGUAGGGUAGUUUUCCUAGUUUCAAGAGAAAAGUGGAGUUAGAACAUAAGAAUAGAACCUAGUUUCAAGAGAAAAGUAGAGUUAGAACAUAAGAAUCGAAAUAUGAUUGAAAUCAGCGUCCGACAACACGAUUAUACGCAUUUCUCCAAAGAGGCUAUCGUCCCGCCACCUUUCACUGUCCUGUCGUUUUCCCCAUUUUGAUAACCAGCAUUCUCAUUUGUCCUCUUUUUCCAACUAAGAGAGGAGCGCUGGGCUCUGUAAGCGAGCCAUUCUUUAGUACAUAGUCGCUUGAAUGGAAAUGCACUACAAAAUAUAGAAGUAAGUAACUUAACUGCCUAUCAUCUUUUCGCCUUUCUUGUUGAGCUAGCGUAGCGAGUUCUUUAGCGCUGUAGUAUGAGUGGUAAACCCAUUUAUUGCGUUAGCGAGCUAUGCCUUAUUACGCUUCUAAAGCGGAGCUCGUUCUCUUGCUUUUGGCCUGAGCCAGAUAGUUUCUGGAUUUGAUGUUUUUGACCUGUAGCAAUCAGCUACCUCUAUCCAGCGGAUCUAUGGCUAGGGCAAGCAAAGGAAAGAGACUUCAGCAAAGAAGAAGGAAAGGCUCCAACCGGUAAAUAAUAAGCGGAAGUAAGCCAGCUCUAAAAAAGCCCUUGUGCGCCAUCUUUUUGUUAAGCCAGCCAGCAGGAGCUUCCAAAAGUCUCAUAAACCACUGGAGAGUCCGCCGAACCUGUGACAAUUGGAGUCAAAGGGUAAUCCCUCCCUACUUGAUUGGGGUAAGCCUCGCCUGUUGCUGUAAGCUUUUACAGAAUUCAACCCAUAGAAGAGAAGUCUCAAUAUAUAAGUCAAUUCCAUUCAUAGAAUCUAAUUUCUAAUAUAAGUCAAUUCCAUUCAUAGAAUCUAAUCUAUAAUAUAAGUAAAUGAAAUGAAGAUAAGUAAAUGAAAUGAAGAUAAGUUCAUAUAUAAGGUCCAAUUCUAUUAGGAGUUUCUAGUAGCAAGCAAUAGGAUUGUUAGCAAGUUCAUUUGAAAGAUUUGAUGUUCAUCUCUUAGCAGUUCUCUUGGGAGGAAAAUAACAUCUCGUUCUCUUACAUCUCUGUAAAGCCUUCGAUCGGUUUUGUCUCUCUCUUGGAAAAUGAAUCCUUUUCUGGGCUUCGCACAACGGCUAACUCUCUGUAUGGAGUGUACCACGCCUUCUUUUAUAUUGAACUUCUAGCAUCUUUGAAUAUCAUAGUUCUUUUUCUCCAGCAGGAAUCUAUCUCUCUCAGCAAUAAAAAACGUAGCUAUUAGGAAUAGCUUAAGCCUAUAAUAGAAUAUAGCCCUAAAAAGCAGAGAACGGAGGAAGUUUCCUUCAUCGCUCGGUGAGCUAUUAAUUGCCUAGCGCUUCGAUUGCAUGCAAGGUGGCCAGCGCAGCGCGGGCGAAGGAGAUGCUUCUGGUAGUACUGGAUAAGCUCUAGGGGAAUAAUCUCUUUCUUCCGUUUUUCUUCCUUUCUUUCCCAUGACGACUAGGAACGGGCAAAUCAAGAAUUUCACUUCGAAUUCCGGACCUCAACAUCCUGCUGCUCAUGGUGUUUCACGAUCAGUAUUGGAAAUGAACGGAGAAGUAGUGGAACGUGCGGAACCACAUAUUGGAUCACUCCAGUGCGGCACGAAGCCGCUGACGCUGAGUAGGCUCCUAUGCCGCUAGCUAUGCCAAGCAAGGUCCCCAGGCACAGUAAGGGUUUGUUUCGUAGCGCGUCAUGAGCACCGGUCAAAGGGGAAGUUCAGCAACUCAACCUAACCUUAAUACCUUACUUUGGAUAGGGAUAGAAGGGAUAAGGUUUUGAAGGUGGCCUCGUUAUCCACACAUAUGUCGGAUGAAUAGAGAACCGACCUGGGUUUGAACCAUAGCGGGUCCUGGAGUGCCCGCCCUAUUGGAAUUCGCUAACGAACCCCGGGGUGAUCAUCACUACCUGCACCUAACAUCUCGGCACAGUGGAACGUGUAACCUGCCAGCUGUCCAAGUCAACUACUCAAUAUCUGUUAAGUCAAUAUCCGUUAAGCGCCUAACAGAACGUAGCAGCCACCUAUACAGACAGCAAGCGGGGAGGAUGGCACUACUGGCAAAGACCGUCUGGCGAAAACGCAACAGGCGCGAAGCGUGGUAGGCAAGCGCCAGGGGAGCAACGGGAGGAAAGGGAGCCCGGACGGUGUAAGAGCCAGGGGAGGCCGGGUCAUUUAACGGAAAUCAAAGGGGUCAAGUAACUACAAACGACCGCAAAGUAACUACAAACAGGCAAGCAACUACUAUACAAGUAACUCCAAAUGGGCAAGCAGACAAUAAACAACUACAAAGACAGAGAGCCAAGCAGACAAGACACUGCUAAUUAGCUUCCUAUGAACGUUGGGAUUUUCGAAUUCAUGCAGCUCGAAUGGCGUGAGCCGCAUGCGGAGAGACCCGCACGUACGGUUUUCAGGGGGAAGAGGCCGAAAGACCGCGCCCACCCGACUAGAGGGACUGAGAAAUUAAUUGAGUACAAAACUUAUCUUCAAGCUUUACCUUAUUUUGAUCGUUUAGAGGGCGAUCGCGGAGUCACUGAAUGGAAGUCCUCUCUUUCUUUCACCAGCAGCGAGGCAUAUAUGACUAAGUAACAUAUUGAAUAUGUCGACGACAACAGCAUGUCGUAUAAGGAGAUAACAGGUGGUAGAGCCCUAAGACGUAUCCUAAACUACAUCCCCGAGCGGCAGUCAAACUUAGGCGUGAAUGCAAGAUGCCAGCGGAAUGAUCGGCCGGACAGAGGCUAGGGCAGCUUCCUUCCUUGUGUGUCGGAGAUAUAAAGCGAGUGCACCGGAAAACAAUUGGGAACGGAGUCGAUCUAUUCCAUGGCGAAGCAUCCGAAGCAUAACUGCACACUCUGACUAUCUUUGCCGAGAGAUAGGAGCAUUCGGUGGAACCGGUGAACUACACUUGCUUCUUUAUAGAUGUGUGGGACAGAGGGCUCGUGGUACCAGCUGCCCACCCUUCCUCCGCUUUGAUAACCGUGUGAACGGAAAGUGGGCAGAGCAAAAGGGAAGGAGGUCCUCAUACAGAGUCUAUCACUUUCGCUUUUCCGUGCGGGAGACUAGAGAAUGGGUCGAGUAAACUCCCUUGGGGUCAUUACUUACUAAGUGUUUUUUCACUUAACAAUAAAGUCGUCUAGUAUGGAUUUUCAUUAGUGAUUCGAAAGGUUGGUAUCUUACUUCUAUGAUUCGAAAGGUUUGUAUCUUACUUCUAAAGGAAGGCAGAGGUAAUUCGAAUGGCGAAGAGAGGCGGCUCGGCUCGGUAGGGAAGGAAUGGUCAAUCGUUCAAUAAUUAAGGAAUUCUUUGUUGGCGAAACGAUGAGGGGUAGAAAGCAUGCCAGUGAUUCUCUAAGCAUUUCCAACGCUUCGGGAAACUUGCCGAGAUAGAUGAAAGCACCUUUUUCUCCUCUUCCUGACCUUUAAGGCUAUCUUCUAUUCUUCUUGCCUUCACUUCACCUCCUCGUAAAUAGAACCCUUCUGAUCCAUUCAUUUCUGCAAGCAGGCGGAAUCUAGAGCUAAGCCCCACUCCUAUGCAAUCAAAAGUACUUAAAUGAAAGCGCAAGUACCCAACUUUUUCACUCUAAUCAAAUCAGAAGCUUACUCAAGUACCAAAGGCAGGAACGUGGUUUCGUUGGGGAUGGAUUCAGUCAGCUAAAAACCCCAUAAUUGAUUCAUGCUAGUCCUACUUCUAUUGAUUUCUUUUUCUGAUUAAUGCUUAGUCCUACUAGAUUUCUUUUUCUUAUUGACUUUUAGUAGUCUGCUUUCCGUUUCUGACUUUUAGUAGUCUGCUUUCCGUUUCUCUUUGCAGCGAUGCCCCUUUUAUAAAAGCUUAGCAUCUUAGCUUCCGAGGUUAGGGUCAAUAGCCCUUUUUCUCAAGCUUCACUUUCUCUCCCUGCUUGAAACAACUUGAGCUUUAGCUUCCAAAGGCUACCACGUUUCUGUCAUUGAAGUUGCCUUUCGUCGCCCGUACCCUAAUAAAUAAGUCACUAUCCAACUAAACAGCUUGCUUGCCCCCUACUGAAGUAGCAAAGCUCUGCCCGGUGACUCUUAAUGAGUUUUCCACUUCCAGAAGUCGGGCUCCCGAACAAAGGACUUGGUUAUAACUUGGAAGGAAUUAUAGGAAGCAGCCCUGCCUAGCAACGUUAGUAGUCCAAUGACUCCCAAAAACAUCUAUUGUAAUUAAAAGAGUGGAGCGGCCCCAAAAGCAUCUAUUGUAAUAACUUGUCAUAUCUAUUACCUUGGCUACCGCACUUAGUCUUGCGCCUAAGCUUGGUCGUUAGUAGUUGCUUGGCCUGUUGCUACCGCUGAAAACAUAGAUUGUAAUAACUUCGUAAUAACUGUAUAUUUGCUGCCGCAUCACAUUAGCAGCUCAAUAACUCCUGCCGCGCAACGUUAGUAGUUGCUUGGCGGCCGUCUUGCUUAGUUGCUUGGUCGGCACCCGAACACAGGAAUUGUUAUAACUACGUCAUAACAUACUUAUUAUUGCUGCCGCGUAACAUUAGUAGUUACUUGCCCAGUGCCUUGGCGCCUGUUGCUGCCGUUUUUUAGCUCGCUGCCGCUAUUAAUUAGGACUUGCUAACAACUCAUGAAAACUGUUAUUAUUAGUUUAUUGCCUUCUAUGUUUUUGUAGUAGUUACUUGGCCGUCUUACUUAGUUGCUUGGCCCCUCUGCGCCCAGCUCACAAUACCAUUCUAAUAAGUAAAGUUCUAAUAAGUCAAGUAGUGGACAUUUUCUCCAAUAUGAUUGAAUAGCAUUGCCGGAGGCUAAGGUCACUCUUGUGGGAGAGCCGUGUUAUGGGUGACCUUAUUGCACGGUUCAGAGAGCACUUGUGUAUGUGAUGCAAGUGAACGUGUACGAAAAAGCUGUCGUAAGGUUUCGUUGUUCGUUCCGUCGUCGACCCUAUCUAUGUUUCUAUGAUGGCCCAAGAACACGCUCAUUCUUCAGCAGUUGAGAAACUCUUGAAUUGCGAGGUACCAUUACGAGCUCAAUAUAUACGAGUGUUAUUCCGUGAAAUAACUCGAAUUUCAAAUCAUUUACUAGCUUUAACUACUCAUGCUAUGGAUGUGGGAGCAUCAACUCCGUUCCUUUGGGCUUUUGAGGAGCGGGAGAAAUUGUUGGAAUUCUAUGAAAGAGUCCCGGGAGCCAGGAUGCAUGCCAGUUUCAUACGACCUGGUGGAGUUGCACAAGAUCUUCCUCUUGGCUUAUGUCGAGAUAUUGAUUCCUCCACACAACAAUUUGCUUCUCGUAUCGAUGAAUUAGAAGAGAUGUCAACCAGCAACCGUAUCUGGAAACAACGAUUAGUGGAUAUUGGUACUGUCACUGCACAGCAAGCAAAGGAUUGGGGAUUCAGUGGUGUAAUGUUAAGAGGUCGUGCGACAUGAAGACAUUGAUAGCAAUAUGGGGGAAGUUCCCAUCAGGCUACAACGGUUCUGCCUGACCCGUAAUAAGCAUGCAUAUGUUGUCAGUCAAGAUUGAGUGUGAAGCCUUGGAUACGACAAGAUUGAGUGUGAAGCCUUGGAUACGACCUGGGCUAGGGUGAGCUGAGGGGGGACAGCGUAAGUAAGCGAAUGUGUGUAAGCCCCAGUCCAUUAUUUCUAUUAGAAGGCCUUACUGUUAUUCUGUUUUGCCGUGAACUGAUUCGCCUCUGGCCUCUAGGCACGUCGGAACCGCAUGAGUUCACCGGGGUGGAGCACGGUCCGCCAAAAUCGGCAUAGGUUAGGUGCUAUUGAUGGAACAUGGUAAGCCCAUCUUUCUCCAUAUGGAAGUGAAGCUGGCACAUAGAAAAGUGGGUAUAGGAUGUCUCAAAAAGCAAAGGCCGAGCAGUAGGUAACGUUACCUGCACCGAAAAGAUAGCUGACUGGGCUUUCUCCUGGAUCCAAUUUGCCCAAGAACUACCUUGGUGGUAAGGAAGGCAAUCUCCGCGAGCGUCCCGCACCCUCAGAGAAAGCCAAAUCAACAAGUAUGACGCUCGGUGUCUUACUCUAUUGGUAAUUGUUCCUUGCUGUUGGUUUCGGCCAGUGCUUGUUUGCGCGCUUAACACCAAACCCAAUCCAAAUACAGGAAAGAUGCUCUUCUCCUCUCGUGGGGCAUCAACGAAUGAUUCGAGCCGUAUGAAGGGAAACUCCCACGUACAGUUUGUUUUGGGGGGUUUGUUGCCCGACUGCCCACGGACUUGGCCCGGGCCUAAGUGAAAGUUCAGUAGUGGGCCUACCAAUCCAAACCUGGGGUAUGCUGGGAUUCGAGAAAAGCAGCACCUUACGAUGUUCAUGACCAAUCGGAUCCUGACGUACCAGUAGGUACCAGAGGAGAUCGCUAUGAUCGUUACUGUAUCCGUAUCGAAGAGAUGCGACAAAGUGUUCGGAUCAUUGUUCAAUGUCCUAAUCAAAUGCCUAGUGGCAUGAUCAAAGCCGAUGAUUAUAAGCUAUGUCCUCCGGCACGAUUCAGAAUGAAACUAUCCAUGGAAUCGUGCGCCGUGUGAAACAUAGAUCAUCGCCCGUUCUUAACUUAGACUCAGGUUAAGCUCCAUCUCGGAACCUUAGUAGGGUUAGGAGUAAAGCAUCCCGAGGUUGACGCAUCUAAUUUGGCGUAGAGAAGCAUUGGGAACCAAAAUGUCCUUAUUAAGAGCAGUUUCCCGGCCCUCGCCCCGACAUAGCGCUUCUGGUUCGUUCUUCGGAAGAAGCUUAUUAUCCCUUAUUCAUUGAUCUGGGGGAAAGGGAACUAUAUACGAGUUGGGAAGCUAGAUAUUAAGUAAGUGGCUUGAUGAGGAGAACUAAGCUGACACUGAGGAGUUGGCUGCUGGCACAACAGGGUGGUGCCUUACCUUACCGCACCGCGGGCGCACGCAAGGUAGUGUUCGUGGUGGUGCUUCAGGAUUCCAAUGUACUGCGUCCAAGAUCAGAACAAGCUUGCCGGCGGACCACUGCCGUCCCAUUCUUUAGUGAGCUAUAGCGCAGCCAUCUUAUCCACUGAACUAGCGUCAAGCUAUCGCUUCGGGUCGAAGCACUAAAAGAAAAGGACCGGGAAACGCGGCGGCAUAGGAACCACGGGAAUCCCAGGAGAUAUAAAGACUAAGUCAGGGAAUCGGGAUCCUCGUAGUAGGCGGAACCAUAAUCUCGCCGAGAGAGGGCAGUCUUUAGAAGCACAGAGGUUUGGAAACCAAGAGAACGCUUCGCUCUUUGCUUCUUCCCGGUAUAGGAGUAGCACCAAAAUAGGGAUUAGCUUAAUUUACCCGAAAGCACUAACACCUUCCUCUCAGUCAAGUAGGCCACUUUUGAUGCAGUCCGAAAUAACCGUUACCAUAUAUUAAUCUCUUCAAUGCUGUCAUUUCGCUUCAACCAAUGUUUCACCUCCCAAAAAGCGUGUCGUUGGCUUGACGAGCGCAGAUUAGGAAGCGGGAGCAAGAAUCCAAGAAUCUAUAUCUCUUGUGCUUAUACUUGAAGUUAAGGGGAAAAGAGAAGCGCUUUCGCUACUGAGAAAGCGAACGGUCGGACUUCAGCUAACUUAUAGAGCUGCCGAAGCCUAUGUGCUAUAAUGCUGAACCAAGGACGCUCUGCCUUAUCCAUAGAAGCAGUUCUUAACAAAAGGGAUCCUUUCCAGGCAAUGACUAAAUCUAUAGAUAGAAAGCCCCAUGAUGGGAAACUAUCACGUUAGGUUUGGAGAGAGAUGGGACCUGUGUGAGUUUAGGGUUUAGUGGGCAAGCAAGCUUUUUCGAUUCUUUCUAUAGCCUGCUAAAUAACUACAGGAUCAUCGGUCUACUCUACCUCAAUUCACCAUUUCGAACCUUAUACUGAAGGGUUUUCCGUACCAGCUCCUUCUACCUAUACAGCAGUUGAAGCACCUAAAGGAGAAUUUGGUGUCUAUCUUGUUAGUAAUGGAAGCAAUCGUCCCUACCGUUGUAAAAUAAGAGCACCUGGUUCUGCCCAUUCACAAGGACUCGAUUCUAUGUCCAAACAUCACAUGCCAGCAGAUGUAGUCACCAUCAUAGGUACUCAAGAUAUUGUGUCUGGAGAGGUAGAUAGAUAGGACUAGGUCUUGCUCGAUCAGGACCCUAGCUUGAUUGCGAGCCAAAAUACCCUUUCAAGAAUAACUAAGUUGAACAUCUAUAGGCUCCUUAUUUCGGACGUUGCGUUCGGCGAUCCCAAUUAAUAAGUAAGUCAAGCUCCUUUGUGAACUCAUCCAAUCUUUCUCAAAUGCAAAUGUAUAAUAACCCAAUAUUCUAUCUAUUUUCCGCUUUCAUAGCGACUCUUAUCUUAUUUAGUAAGGCUUUCAUAGCGACUCUUAUCUUAUUAAGUAAGUAGGAUUCUUUCUCUGGGUAGAAUAGUAUUCCCCCGACGAACCCUCUUUCCCCCGUCCCUCACCACGAAGUGAUUCAGCCUCUAGUGAAUGACGUUCUGGUGGCGGUGAUUCAUAAGAAUUGGAAGGGUCUUUCUUUCUUUAGGUUCUUAGUAAGGGCUCCUCGCCUGACCAAAUUCUUGCUGUUACCAAUCGGGGAGUGGGAUUCCAAUUACCCCGGAGUAAAGACUCCCAGAUGCCUUGAGUUCUUGGACUCAGUUGAUCAGGAAGGAAGAAGGAAUUCCUUAUACACGGAGUUCUAAGAAGGGAAAGGAAAUAGCGUUGUUUGAUAAGGGGAACAGCCUGACAAAGAAUAAUAAUGAAAGUUCCCUGGACUCAAUGACUCUAAGCCUUAACUCAUUUGAAUUUCUCUGACAUUCCACGUUUCCGAAACGGAUCUUUUUCAAUAUUUCACAUUUUCCAUGAUUAUCUCUAUUUUAGGUAUUUGGGGAAUCCUCCUUAAUAGACGAAAUAUUCCUAUUAUGUCAAUGCCAAUUGAAUCAAUGUUAUUAGCUGUAAAUUCGAACUUCUUGGUAUUUUCUGUUUCUUUGGAUGAUAUGAUGGGUCAAUCAUUUGCUUCAUUAGUUCCAACAGUGGCAGCUGCGGAAUCCGCUAUUGGAUCAGCCAUUUUCGUUAUGACUUUUCGAGUCCGAGGUACUAUUGCUGUCGAAUCUAUAAAUUGCAUGCAAGGUUAAACAUUACUACAUCUAAGUGAUCCAAAUACUCUACUUUCGUUCUCUUCUUUCUUUUGAUUAUUGGACUUGGCCGCCGGGUGUCUUACACUACUUCCCGUUCCAUUGCAGAAAGAUGGAUACAUAUAACCCCUGUGCCCAAUGAGAUUUCGUUCAAAGGAUAUGCAGGAUAUCAAUAUGCUAUUUGCUGCUAUUCCAUCUAUUUAUGCAUCAAGUUCGAAGAAUAUCUCAAUAAAUAAUGAAGAAAUAAUAGUCGCUUUAUGUUUUAUAGGCUUUCUCAUAUUCAGUCGGAAUAGUUUAGGUGAUACUUUCAAAGACACUCUCGACGGGAGAAUGGAGUCUAUUCAGGAAGAAUUGCAGCAAUUCUACAAUCAUAACGAAGUCAUUCCGGGGGAAUCCAAUGCACUACAACGAUUACUUAGGAUCAGCUUGUACAUUUGCGGCACCGUAGUAGAAUCAUUACCAACGUUACGCUGUGCGCCUAAGUGCGAAAAAACAGUGAAAGCCUUGUUAUGCCGAAACCUAAAUGUUAAGUCAGCUACACUUCUAAAUGCCACCUCCUCACGUCGCAUCCGUCUUCAGGAUGAUAUAGUAACAGGUUUGAAUUUCUCCGUAAGUGAAAGAUUUGUCCCCGCUUCCACCGCUUCCAUCAUAGAACUUAUUCGAGAGGGCUUGCUAGUCUUAAGAAAGAUCAAGGUUGGGUAGGGUCUUCUAUUCCUUAAGCAUAAGGAAGAGGAUCAAAACAUAAUUAAUAUCUGUUCAUGCUAACAGAAGAGCGGAUCCAAUACACAUCGAGGAAAAUCUUCUUAUUCAUGUGCUCAUGCUAACAGAAGAGCAGAUCAUAUACACACAUCAGACUUAUUCUAAGGAAAUGGUAGCAAGUGUACUUGAUUCAUUUUGAGCCCCACGAGUGAGUUGCCGCUCCCUAGGAGGCUUAAUCAUAUGCUACCACAAGAUCUCGUUUUAGCCUGAAGCCACAAACAUUGGAUAAUGGUCCCCCUUCGUUGAGCUCAGGAAAGAAAGUCCGGAAGUCAUAUAGGCCAGGAUCAUCAUAGACUUUUGGAUACCAAUCGUCUGAGAAAAGAGAGUCCAGUCCCUUCAUCCAAAUAAGACAUGGAUUGUUAUAUCACUUCAGAUCGCUAUGUUCAUGAUUAGUAUAAUUUGUAUGAGUUUCUUUUUGAUACCUUCCAUUUGUAUGAGUUUCUUUUUGAUACCUUCCAUUUGUAUGAGUUUCUUUUUGAUACCUUCCAUUGAAGAAAGAGCCUUAUCUCACCUUCCAUUGAAGAAAGAGCCUUAUCUCACCUUCUAUUGAAGAAAGAGCCUUCUCUCACUCCUUAUUUUCUCUAUCAUAUCAGGGUUCCAAUUCAUUAUCCUUUGAAAGAUCAGGAAUAUAGAACUACUACAAAUCUCAUUUGAUUGAGUUGGAAUCUUUCUUUACCGUGUCUAGUUCUUUGUCAGCACCUUAUUGACCGUAUAUUUAUUUGUCCAAAGAAAAGGGCAUAAUUUCCGCCUAGUCCAAUCACGGCAGAAAGCAAGUAGCUAACAGAGACAGACCGACAGGAGUCAGACACCAACCAAGACCAGACGAUAGAUAACAUAUCCCUUAUGAACGGCGUGAAACCAGUGUGAAAUAAACAUAAUGAUUAUAGAGUCAAGGCAUUCUUAUUGGACCAGGUGCCCGUGCCUUCGUCCUAGAAUCGAUGAACUUAGCGACUACUAUAGGAAGGAAUCCACCUACUAAUGGAAGAAAUCAAACUAGCAGUCCACGCCCUACUUGUUCACUUCAAACUAAUACUCCAGAUCCGGAGCCUUACUUGCGAACCUACCUAUUCUUGGUUUCAAACUACAAAUUGUACUUCUCAUACUGCCGCUACUGACUUAAAGUCUCUUAUUUGCUUCUUUGACUCUAAGUUGACUUACCGCUAUUCUUCUUGACUCCCCGCGAGCUCCGCUGUACUGCCCUGUCUCUUAGCCUUCGACUCGCUUCUUUCUUUCCCCGAAUACAAACUGGGCCUGUUAACCACAUCUGGGUCUGAUUCCUCUACUAAUAGGAGCUUAACUAUUAAUACAAAAUACAAAUACUAACAAUAAGGAUGGGACUACUAAUAAAAGGAAUUGAACAAUCCAAACCAUCAGCAAGGAUACCUGGCAUAGCUCUAAGACAUUUUAGUCAGAAUAAGAAGCAAGGGAAGAAUAAGAUGUCGAAGUGAAGAUACGCGUAAGGAAUGAAAGACAGUUGUUUGAUUCCCCGGUUCCGGUCUCAGAGGUGCUAGUGAAAGCCAGAGUUUCCGAGUCAAAGUUAUGAGUGUGUUUCUCCCAGUUGCAUUCUUGUUGAUAGUAGUUCAAAACCGAUACUAACUACUCUAAGUCUUCGCUGACGUCUUAUUCCUGCCCUUCGAUAAGUGGGUUCAUUCUCUUAACCAACAUUCUUUAUUACAUUAGUGGAUGCGCUAAAAUUCAGUAUUGGGGCCCGUACUUAUACUUAUGAGUUUGACUCACUUAGAAAGCAAGUAAGGAUAUCGGGCUAAGAGUAUACAUCGGAUAGGCCACUGGGAAAAACCCCACGCCUUAGGCCUGCCGCUACUGCAAUUAAGUCAACAAAUACUAGAUCCGAAUCUUGAUUCACUUUAGCCUAACCUGUCUAUCAGACCUUGUAGUUGCCCCUUACACUCUUGGAUGCCUAUAGCUCUAAUACAAUACGGGCGGGAUAUGAUGGACUCCUACUAAACACCCCAUAGGGAAUCCAACGACUACUAGAAAGGAUGUCACUGCUACUAGAAGGAAUUGCACUGGGAAUAUGGAAUUUCAACAAGUAACACAAGCCCUUACCUUCAAUACCCUCUCGCUCCUGCCUUUCUGAAUUGAGUGGAAGUUUUCAAGUCGGAGACAAGCAACUAGGCAAAUAGACCAGAGUCGUAAAGAUAAAGACAUAGCAUCCUUUUUCUCUUUUGAAUCUGAUUAAGUAUCUGAUCCUCGCACUGAUCCUGGUCUUGAACCGGAUUCUUAUCCGCCAAUCCUAUCCUAUUCUGAACCAACAACAAAAGAAUCAAACCCGAAAGUGUCUGCUCCGGACUCUCCACUUGAAGAAUGGAUUGGAGCGGGAAAGUACCUAAAGUGACUCAACUCAAGCUCGCACCGCCCUCACUCACUCCACUAAAGAGCUACUGCGGGACAAUCGGUUGACGUGCACUCACACUAAAUUCUUUUCUUUCGCUGGUAAACUAACUCUCUUAGCGUAGCGCCCGACCUCGCAUCAAAAGCCAAAUAGACUCCCCUCCCCGUCGCACAGUGAGUCUUGCGUGCCCGAACAGGACUUGAAGGGAAUAACCGGCAACAGGAUACAACACUGGAAACUUUUGAUACCUAACUUGAUAUUGGAUACCAUGGAUACCAAACUUUAUACCUAACAACUUCAUAUCUUAGAACAGGAACAGGAACUUGAAUGGAGUCGCCAACACCAAGAUACAACACUCUCACUGCAUUAGUUGAAGCAGAAGGAAUAGAUUCUUCUCUUCCCAUGAACCCAUCUGUAUUUCCCGCCCUUAAGCUGUAUGUGGUCCAAGCACAACACUUUCUUUAACCUGAACCGCCAACAACACUUGUUUCUGGCGCCGAGGCUGUAAAGAAUUAGACUUAUGAUCCGGCAUGGCAUCUGAUCUCUCUCUGGUGGGCUUAGCCCUUGCUGUGUACUUGAAAUCUAUAACCUGCUUUUGCUCCGCCUAUGACAGCUUCUUUUCCUGACUUAACUCGCACAGAAAUAGAUUCCAAGACAGAUACAGAUGCUGGUUCCCUUGAAAGCGAAGGAACAAGUGACUUGUUACGCGUUAGCGAGCGGAGUGGACUCUGACUUUUCUUCUAUACAAUAUCCCCCCCGUAGUACUUUUCUUCUAUAUACGUAGCUUCUUUCUCGCUUACUUGAUACAACACUCGCAGGUUUGAGUGCUCCAGCAAACUCAACAAGUUUCAAAGAAAAGUAGUUCGCCAACGGACAAGGUUACUAACGCGCCCCGAAAGUCAACUAGAUAUGGGCACCCCUGAAAUUAGGCUACCGCCCCAAUAAGCAAACUCUCUCACGCAUCUCAAUAGAAGAUAGGAAUGGAAUAUCUCGAGCAACUAACAGGAACUAAACUCAAGCUAGAGGCUUAGGAACCGCUCAAGCAAGCGCAUCUUUAACUUCAAGGAGAGUUCGGAAGGAAGUCAAACAAAACUUGAUGAGCUGGUAUAAAUGACAUUCUUCAAGCUAACAAACAAGUGGUUGAGUUAAGUUACUUCUUUCUAUAACUGGCUUUCAGUACCCGAACACAGGACUCAUACAAUGAGGCGCAUCUACUUCUCCGUAGUAAACAAAUACUUCCUCUCCUCUUUCAUUCCAGUGGAUUUCUUUCCUCUCCUAUUUAGCUUAGCUUUAGGGUUCAGCUAACUAUCCCCCUGACUUGAAUGUCAUCCUAAAUCGAAUCCUAUAAUAAGAUAAUAUAGAAUAGAAUAGGGGCCAAGUAACUACUAGACCAGUAAAGGAACAGGAACAGGGCUCCAAUCUACCUAUGUAAACUAACUACUACUGAGUGCAAUUCUGUAACUCCUACUUGCCCACCUCUGUUGGAGAGUAAAAACACUAUACCCGGUACCCGAAACAAGACUUGAACACUCUACUUCCCUUGAAGACCCGAAAAAGCUAUUCGAAUACUUUUCCCCGAAGCACUAAGAAGAAGAUUUUUGUGUAUUAGGAACAGGUCUAAAGCGCAAGGAAUCAUCUCUUAGUGUUAGGAGCAGGUCUAAGCGCAAGGAUUAGUAUUAGGAGCAGGUCACUCUUAUAAAUAAAUCAAUAUGCAUUCUAAGAGCCAUUAGAUUACCUCCAAUUUAGGGAUUUUGCUAGAAAAGUGGUUUCCCGAGAGUUCAUUACUGUUCUUGCUUUUGUUGCAGUUGCGUCUGCUGCUGUUGCUUGGUGACCGGUAAUAACUACCUAUUAAUAUACUUAAUACAAGGGUCAAACUCACUGACGCCCGAAGAAAGGAUAGGUGAAACGGAGCUAAUGGGCAAAUCCUCAUUUCAACAUCGACCCGACCUCUAUUACAAGGGGAAAGAAAGUACUAUAAGGGCCCGACCGACAUUGGCUUUACUUACGGAAGUUGUAAACUAGAGAAUCCACAGUUGAAAGAAGAAGCCUAAACCUCAAAAGAAGGGCCAACAGCCCAAACUAGUAGAAAUUCCCCUGAAAGUUGUAUUGGAUAGAGGCAAGCACCAAAGCGAAAAGUAGUGCUCUUAAUUCUGAAAUGCAAUUCUGAACUUCAAUACCAUUGCCAGUUCCAGUUCUCAAGUCAGUAGCUAUGUCUAGUAGAUCUCCCCGGCGGAAAGGGAAAGUCCGCGUUAGCGCCCCGACCCUGAAAAGAAUCAUAGGUUUCACAAGUGACUCACUUAUUGAAUUCAAGGAAGCGGGAAAGAAAUAAGAAAAAGAAGAGAAUUGAGGCGCGCUCCAAAGCUCACUUAUGCCGAAAGCUGGAAUUUGCACAUGACUUAACUACUAACACACAAAGGGAAUAAGAAGGCGGAUUUGAGAGUCAAAAAGAAUAUCCGCAUCCUGGAAAGUCAGCAGCAAGAAAAGUGGUUUAGUUCGGGGAAGAAGAAUAAUAGGAUAGUAGAGUUGGAUGCGAAAGUGGAGUUAUUGUUGAAGAAUGAUUUGUUGCUUCAGCGGCUAAGGUUCUUGUUUACUAUGUGUCAGCUGCAAGUGCAAAGGAAAGAAAGGGUAUUGCCCCCCGACUAGAAAUCCGGAGUGAUAAAGUAAGCUACAAGCGCUAAGUCAACCAGAGAUAGAGAAGCAGCUGGUCCAGGCCCAGACUCAGUGGUGGCGGCGUCAAAGAAAGUAGUGGCAUUCAAUAUAGUCUCUCGAGCACCCAGUAUAGCAUGUAGUAAAUACCGACCAUCCGUACAACGUCUUGUUGCUUCGAGUAAACCUGCACAGGAAUCCGAUCCUAUAGAUAUAGAUCCUCCGCUUCCGCUUCUACACUUGAUAGAGAUGAAAUGAAUGGUUUACUUCAUACUGGCCUAUCGUUCCAGUUAAGUAUGGAGCGGGUUAGGGUGAGAGAGAUUCAUUCUGAGUUUCUUUUGGGUCGGGUAAAGUGCAAGUGGAAAUAGAAAGUAAGUCAACAGCAAUCCGAUCUUCUGCUCCUACUCAGGAUACUGCUUUAACACCUGAUUGAGAGUCUACACAUCCAGGGAAACUAACUCCUUUGAUUUUCGAAGCCCCCCAAACAAGACUUUCAUUGCUUAGUAUUAAACUAGAACUUGAACUGGAGCUAGUAAUUCUACUGCUUCUGGUCUAUAUCCCCGAAUCUUGAUUCUGUUUCUCCCGCUCCUGAAUCCCUAACUAACUCAUCAACUCCUAACUCUAUACUUGAAGAAUCGCCAACACACCUGACCCUACUUUCCACUCCACCUGCUGACUUUUGACUAUAUACAGUUCCUUUCUACCGCUUCCGAUCUUCUUCUGUCUACAAAAAGCGGAGUGAGGGCAGCGACUGUAAAGCUCUUGCUUGUUCUUGCGAAAGAAACGGCUUGUUCCUCCCAACAAACUUAGCCGAGACGCGUAUGAAAGGCCCCUUUUGAUUCUAACUCUCUAACGCCUAAGCUUCCUCACUCCUUUCUGUUUAUAUGACUUUCUUUAUAUCUUCUAUAUAAGUUUUCUAUUGGAUAAGUUUGAUAUUGGCAUUGCUGACUCUAUACUUAUAAGUUAUAUCAUAUCAUAUUGGCAGCCGGACCCUUAACAAGAGUACUUUUGACUUUCUACCCUUGCUUGCUUCCUUGCAAAGUGAGAUAUUCUUUUCGACCUAAACUUGAAGUUAAGUUAGUGAAAUUCCAUUCUUAACGCUUAACUGGCGCUGCUUCCUCUACUGCUAAUGAUGCUACCUCAGAUCCUUAUCUAGUUUAUGAUCGAGUCGACUUAACUCGAAAAGAAAGAGAUUCCGCUCAAGCAAACGAGCACCCAAUAUACCCUUCACUCGCCAAGCAAUAACCUCUAUCGUCUACAACACCACCCCAUGCAGGUUCCUUUGAAACUGCUUCCUUCACUUGCGCCAACACACACCUCGGCUUCCUCACCAAACUGUAAACUAUCAAUUCAGAACUUGGAAAGCCAUAUACAACAGUAUUGAGAUGGGGAGCAGGGUCUCUAUUCUUUACUGGGCUCGGUAAGAGAUAUAAUGGAAAUGAUGACUUAUGAGUUUAGGUCGGGGUCGGGGAAGAAGAAAGGGAAUCAAGAUAAGAACUAAUAGAAUAGAUACGAUACAGAACAAGAGAAUGCAUGAUACCCAGAAGGACUUAAAGAGAAUGCAUGAUACCCAGUCGUGUGCUGUUGCUAAGUAUACGCUUGGCGAGUUUCAUACCGAUCCUGUGCCCUUAAGUUAAUGGUCAGAGUGGAAUCCCUAGUUAUAUAUCUGGUGCUCCCGCCUUUAAGAAGAGAGUUGACUUCACUACUUACAGCAAAGCGCAUUCAAGCAGGAAUUAUACAAUAAGCGUACCCCUGAAGAAGAUGGAUAUUAGAGUUAUGAGCAGACAAGCAACUAAAGCAAGCAAGUCCAUUCUUCAGGAGCCCUGUUGCCCAGGAGUGGUGAGUAACUUCCAACUUUCAAAACAGCUAAUGAAUAUAGUAAAGGAGAAGAAUACAUCUACAGCAGAAGAGCAAGCAACAUAUGGAUUGAAGUAACAGUGGAGGGUAGGGUUGACAGCCAGGAAAGUCUACUUUUCAUAAUAGGAUGGAGCUAGAGAUAGGGCUGAUAGAAACAAGUACAUAGGAGCAAGAGCUGGAUUAGGUAUAGCAGUUAUUGACUUUCCCGAGUGGAGUUCAAAGAGCCUGAGGUGACUAUAUGCAUUCUUAUAAAUGAGGAGUCAAAGUGGAAAACAACUUAUAUAUCUGCCUUGUGGUUGAUGCCACUUUGAAUUGAUGAUGCAGAUUCUAACCUUGGCCAGGAGUGUUGAGCUAGGUUGAUACCCAAAAGAAUGGAAAGUAAUCUGAUCUCUAUCGAAUUUGGAACUUCCCCAUUUGUUAUUAACUCCUUACAGGGCAAGGAGGGAGUUACGAGUCCUAUUUCCGAGCCAAGGAGGGAGUGACGAGCCCAAUAAAUAGGGCCAAGCGUAUACUAAGCGCGGCAGUCGUAUUCCGUUUUCUACUUGAAUAAGUCGUUUUCUACUUUCCGGUGUGCGAGGACAGGACUUGUUCAUACCCCAGCUGGAUUAGAAUAAGAGAAUAGAUCGUAUAAGAAGGAGACUCUCUUUCCUACUUGUUUUAGUUGUCUUACUUUCCUACUUGAGAGCACUCGCACUAGGUUUGGUUUGCAGCCUAUGAGCCUACCCUGCCUCACUGCCUUUAUAUACUAGCUAUGAAAUCGACACUGCCUAUUUGAGUUCUUUAGUUCGAUUGUUGGGCCUACUCUCUUUGGUUUCAUUCCCUAUUCUGAGUUAAAGCAUGAAAAGCACUAGUCUAAGUUUUGAAGCGGGGAAGAUAAUACUCACUUUUGAACUAAGUCAUGUGCCUAGUCACCUUCCCCAGGUAAUACUGAAAUCAAGUACUCAAUUGAGGAAUAAGAUAAAGGAAUAUAGUCCUCGAGGGGUUACGACUAGCUCCUGUCUAUUAGCCGGAAACUAGCAACUCCAGCCUUAUACCAAUGACUUAUAUUCUGAUACUGAUUCCUUCAAUACCCAUGUGCGAGGUGAACUCUUCCACUCCCCUACCUUAUUCUGACUAUCCCGGCCCUUAAUUCUUCUAAUCCCUUCUCUGAUUCUGACUAUGCUGCCUUAAAGUAUGUAGUUCGGAUUUUAGGCUUCCUUUCCAGUGCUCUUCGGCUUAGCUUAUUUACUUGUAUUUGAUAAUACGAUCUAGUGCAUCCAGAAGUAGAAUCAAAUAAGUAAGUAAGAGAAAUGAACUCGAUAAUACAAGAAGUCAACUAACAAGUCAGAUUGAAGUAUACCGGUCUGGAACUAUAAGACCUAUAAGACGAAAACAACAAGAAUAAUUGCAACGGGAACAACGCUAGCAAUACCCUAACUUGAAACUGGGAAUGCAAAUAGUGCUUAUAAGACUUUAACACAAGAAAGGGAAUCGAACCAAUGCCUAGUAGACUGAAAUAGUGUCUGGGGGAAUGGACCUAUUAGAAACCAAACUGUCACUGGCGCUUAGAAGACCUUAUCCGAGUAUAAAGAAAUCCACCAGUGCUAGCGGGACUGCUACUAGUGCUUAUAAUACUCUUACUACAGCCUAGGAGCCUUACUAUCAAUAUUUGCAUUCUUUCACUACCAGCCAGCAGCCAGCAGCUGACGCUGACCUUGCUUUUCUUCUUUUCUUCCGAUCGGUAUCCUUACAGGCAUUAGCUUUUCUGUACCUCGGUGUCUUCCCGAACUUUUAGUAAGAAUUUGACAUGACAAAUAAGUAAUAUAACAUAGCUACGUACGAUCCUAGUAGCGCAUAUAGAAUAGAAGUCAUAACUAAAUAAGAGAACACAACUCAUACAGAAGAGAACCAAACCCAUGAAAACAAGGCUUAUGCUCUAAACUCACUCCUCACUGCUGAUCCAGAUCCGGACUUUUACACCACCUCUCUUUGCUUUUAUUACCUUAGCUCGAGCUAGAGUCUUCUCCCGCUUAUUCUUAUUAUACAACUCCGGUCUACUAGGCUUACCUUUGCUCUUACGCUCCUCUCUUUGAACUAGGCUUACCUUUGCUCUUACGCUCCUCUCUUUGAAUCUUAAACAGCUUGCCUGAAACCUGUCCCCCUAUUUGCAACGAUUCUAACUAUCUUUGCUUUCGUUCGAUCUUUUCUUUCUUCAAUGCCUUAUUUCAUUUACUUAUAUUAAUGUGUUUAAAACAUUCUCUUAUUACAGAAUGGAAUGUGUUUCAACAUUCUCUUAUAAGAAUCCAAUAAUUAAUGAACUGAGCUAUACCUUGAAUCUUGGCAUCCCGACCCCGAGACCAGUUGACCGUAUCUCAAUGAAUAUGGUAUGGUAUGGUACUGCUCUUAAUGAGCGAUGGCUGAUUCUCUUACUUCUCGAUGAUUCUAUUACAUAGUUGUACGUUUCUUUAUUCCUUGUUGGAACCAAUGAUUCUAUUAUUUAUACUUCGUUUUUUGGAACCAAUGAAAAUUCUCCUAUUACCAUUACAAUUAUUCUAUUACUUAGGUGUACGUUGCCUGUUUGCUUGUACGUUCGUUGCCUGUGCGUUCGUUGCCUGAGUAUAAGAGUCAAGGCUGUUAACCAAUGCACCAAUGAUGAGCAACCAAUGCACCAAGGGUAGGUAAGCCAAUGAGUAGGGCACCCUAGUAUGAUGGUAUGAUAUGGUAUGAUAGGGUAUGGUAUGAUCGAUCCAGUGGUACAUCCAUUAUAGUAAGAAGGAGCUGUAUAGUAAGAAGGAGCUGUCCGGUCCGUAUAAGACAACAACUAAGAAGUCAGAAUACCGGCGUAAGCGCGAAGCCUGAUAUUGAAAACAAGUCAAAAUGCCGGGUAGUAAUUGUUUGAAUGCUGGGAAGAGGAGUGAGUUUUAGGGUAAGCAGUGUCAGUCUACUAGUUCUGAUUUAGAGUCUGUUUGUCUGUGGAUCUAUUCUGAGAAGCACCAGUUGUAGGGUUAAACCGAAGGUAGUCAGAAUCGGAGUUAGGGAAGGGCCGGCUAAUAAGUUAGCAUAUGAUAUAUCCAUGAGAGGCACAGGCUCGGACAAGUUAAGCGGACUACCGCGUAACGCGAAGACAUCAGCAGCAAUAACAAAUACAAAAACCAUUAUGUGUUUUCCUUUCUUGCAGUUGUGGUUGAGUACUUGGUGGAAUGCCGGGUGGCUUUUCAAGUUUCAGAGAAAGUCCGGGCAGGCUCAAAGACAAUAGCUAGAGACUAAAACAGGAGAUAUGGGCGAAGGUGCUGUAAGAUAAAGAUCUGGUUCUAAGUAUUAAAGAAUCAAGGUAAGGGAACUUAGGAUUAAGGGCAUGUAAGUAAUGGGUUAUUAGGUGUGUGAUUACAAGUUAUAAUGAAACUGAAUAUGAACUAGGUCAGUAUAGGACUUAGGGUAGCAAGUAAUAGAAUGAAAGUCCUAAUAGAGGGGCGGAUCUAGGUAAGUAGAACAGACUUAUGGUAUUAGUGAGAAGAGGCUAGCACAUCUGAAGUUGUAGACUAAUCCAAUAGUAGUAAGCAUCAGAGUUUCACUCAUUAGUCAAGAAUGGGUGUUUGGGGUCUUAAAGCCAGAGUCGGAGUAGGCAAUGGAACGGCCCAAGAAUAGAAGUGGAACCCAGGAAUUAGCUCAUUAGAAUCAAGUAGGUAAGUAGCAUAAUAGCACUGAGGAGUCCAAGCCUUACAUUAUUCCGAGAGACCACGGAGUCAUUUGGAUCUUACGCUCCUGGCUUCAAGUCUUUAGUUCACCUCUCGAAGUCUUCCCUAACUUUCUUGCAUUCCGUAUUACUUGUUGAAAACUGUGACUACUCAUUUGAUUCUGAUGUAGUUGUAUCAGAUCCGGGAAUUGACUUUGAUACACUGGAUCGUAAUGUAGGUGCCCAAUAGGAAUCGUCAUAAGGAAAGCCAUAAUGAAACAGGUCAGUAUAAGGCCGAAAGGGGACAUACGGAAUGCGGCUACUAACUAUCGGAUCGAACACUGCCUAAUGACUUGAAAUACUACUUAAAACAGAAGGUACACGGAUCCUAUGCUCGAUUAUUAGUAUGGCUCUUCCUCGCUCCUAUCCAUGCUUUAAGCCUUGCUUUCAACUCCACACGGUUAGCAUGCCACCUCUUUAGGAUUUGUUAUCCAAACUCAUAAGUGACGUUAGAAUGCAUUUGUAACUAAUCUAUUUGAACUUGAAACUUAGAAUUCUACUAGCGCUUAUCAGAAUCAACCUACUGGUAACAGGACAACAACCCCUGAUGCGGGAUCAAACUCAAGAGUCAGGCUUCAAUCACCUAACUAGCAAGAAUCAAUCCCAGCAGCUCAAUUCCCUAUUUGAGUAUUUGAUUAUGGUAUGGGUGUUCAUCUUCCCUUUUGGUGAAUGAUAAAACGACUCUCAAUAUUGCAUUGAUAAAACAGAGAACUUCACUUCAUAUAUGCUGUAAGCCAGGGCAAACUCUCAUAGGCGGGGGACAUAGUCUAAGCCUAAGAGAUAGGGUAGUCAGAACCAAUGUCAAGGUCGUACGGCUUAGCAAAAGUCAAGACUGGCUUGGGUGCGAGGGUUCGAUUCUAUUAUUUUCCCAGUUCGAUCUUGUUUGUUCCUAUUCUAUCUUUGACUGAUCUUGUUUGUUCCUAUUCUAUCUUUGACUAAUGAAGUAAAAUCCUGUGUUUCGAUAAGGCUAUUGAUUGAAACCAUAGUAUAUAGCACACCCCUACCGGCCACAACACACCUUAGUACUAGUGUAAUACUGAAAAAGACAAUUCGAUUCUUGCUUUUGACUUGACAGCGCCAAUGAGAUUCUUAUAAGAUAAUAUAGUUUCUAGUUUCCGUGGUGCCAAUUCCACUCUUUAUGAGAUAGCUUACUCGGUACUCUCUUUGCCUUUUGAGCAGUUGCUUGUUAAUCCUAAGGAGUAUAGUAGCAAGUCCCGUAGGAGCAGGAUCAAAAGAAGCAAUUCCAGAAUCACCAGCUGCUGUAUACGGAUAAGAAUCCAAUCUCAAAUCAACAGCAUGCGGUUCAUAGAGUUUAGUUCGGUUGUUUGACUUUCAGAAGAAUCUCCUCUCUUUUUUCAUGCUGAGGUUAAGUGGAAAGGAACAGUAGCUAUGUCUAGUGGAUCUCGGUUAAGAAUCUUAGUUGUUAUCUAAAGCUGUCAAUCCAGUUCUUGUUUUAUCAACCUAUUCUCUUUGCGCCUAAGCUUUAUUUCGAGCUCACUUUCCUGACGACCCGGAUUUGGAAUCUACUUAAUACUGCUUUCAUAGCACACCUCAUGUCAUUUCUGAACCUUACAGCAGUUACUCACUAAUACACUUUGGCUUUGGCAAACUCCACUCCGGAAGAUACAACCGAAUUUCUUGUUCCCCGAACUCCCCUUGAAGAUUCCCCACUUGCUGCUUACCUGAUAACUCCUCUUUCUUAACCUGAACUACUUGUGCUUGCUUCACUUGCAACAUAAGGUCAUCUAUCUCUUGCAGAUGCGGACACUCGAACUCAUGAACUUGAAGAACCAACAACCCUAGCACCAACUUUGAUAGGGGAAAGCCAUAUGUAUGAGGAGUUUCAGAUCCUAAGUCACUAACCUGUUGUGUGAAGUCUAUUCUUAUACUAUCAUAUACUUAUACUUACUUGUCUUAUUCAUAUUACCCUAUUCAUAUACUAUCUUAUCUUAUACUUACUUAUAAUCUUAUCCGCUAGAUCAUACCUGCUUAUAAGACUUCUACUUACAAAUACUUAUUACUGACUUAGUAACUAAUACUUACUUAGUCGAAAGAGCUAUGUAUGGGUCCCUUGCCGGAGGGGGGAGAGUUUACAGUAUAGGUCAGUUAUUCAAGUGUAGUUACUUGCCUGCUAGUCUGCUUGGCCUAGAUCUAUUCGCCUUAGGCUCUCUUACGUUCAGAUAACUUACCAGCUCUCUAUUUACUUGCGUUCAGAUAACUUACCAGCUCUCUAUUGACUUGACUCUAAUAGCCAUAACUAUUAUAGCCUUACUGGCGGAGUUAGGUUCUCUGAUGAGUCUCCCCUUCUUCCGGUUGCAGCCGAAGUAUAUGCGUAGCCUUUGGUUAAUAUCCGUAUGCUAUAGCUAUCUUUGCUUACCAUUUUGACCGAUAUAAAAGGCGCUUCCUGAAUCUUGCCCUCCCUCAACUAGCUGUUUAGCAUCUUCAAGCUUGGGAAAGAGUGCCAGCGGUUUUGAUGUAUAUCGGCUAUGUGCUGCCUAUGUUGGCUUGGAGGUCCGAAGCACGUCUCUCUCUCUCUUCACUUUUUACUUAAUGGAUUUCCACCCUUUUUUUUAGUUCAAAUGCCUUUGCUUUGUUUUAUCCCUGUCUUUCUUUCGUUUCAAUAGAAGGAAUGAAUUAACGAGAACAAAAUCCAAAGGACUGUCCGGCAUAGUGAUGUAACCGGUCUGGAAUUCCAUUUUCUCAGGCUUUACCUACAUAAGGGUAAUCCUAUAACUAGAAUCGGCAUCGGUGGGCUUUCCAAAAAGUAGCAUUCGUAGUCGCAUAGUAGCAAUAGCAUUAGCAGGGCGCUCAAGGGUAGUAGAGGAAUGAGAUUCGCCAAUAGAAUACUCAGAUGUAGCCUUUCGGGUUGUAGGACACAAGGGGAUCCUGAAGAAAUUCCCUUUUUUCCAGUAGCUAGUCCAGUAGCUAGUUUAGGCAAGCGGUUCGAGUCAAGUGCCAGUUAAAGAACCCAUUGUUGGGCAAGAGUAAUAAAUAGGAAGUAAACGACUUGGUCUCUUCUUUAUUCCUCUGAAAACGGAUUGCCUAUUCAAGAAAGUGACUUUGACCAAAUAGAGUAUCCUUCCGUAUAUAGAGUAUCCUUCCGUAUAAAGAAGAAGGGCUAUCGCAAUAGUGAGUUGUUCUGUAAGGAAAGGAAUUAGUCUGAAGAUUGGACUUAUUAAGUAAGCGGGUUGUGAUAACUCUUUUGCUUGUCUGGUUUACUAGAUCGGUAAAGUGGGAUAUGAACGACCUCUUCUGCUUACUUGUAAGAUACUUCCGUUUUCAUAAUCAACUUGUGGGAAAUGAUCUACGAUUCAUCUUUAUGGUUUUUCAAGGGGAACAACAACUAGUCAUAAAAUAAAUAGCUCCAAGGGGAGUUGUUUACGUACCCUCUAUCUUAAGCCCUGCAGGGAUCGCCUGAUUUCAAUAUAGUUCUUCGACUUUACUUCAAGAGCUAGAAGAACUCAGAGCUGAGGUCAAUCUAAGGAGUGGUUUUGGAAAGCUUUACAAUCAUGUGCACAUCUUUCGUUUUGGCUCUGGAGGAUAAGAUGUUCGUUCAUAUGCUCCUUGCUGGUUCACCGAUCAUUGAUGGUUCUUGAACCGCUAAAGAAUGGUCCAUGCUAUAAUACCUGAAUACAAAUGACUACUGGAAAAAUGAGUUGAGAUCAUUAGGCCAAGCAGGCGGACAGGCCUCCUUUAGCCGGCACAACAUAAAGGUCGAAUCGGUUUUCUUUGUUAAAGAUGGGUUCAUUAUACUAUGUCAUUAGGGGGGCUAAAUCCUAUAGUGCAAAUUCCCUUACUUUAGCAACCAUGCUCAGAUGUUAAUUAAGGCUACAUUUGACUUCCUUUGUCGAACCCUCAUGCAUGCUACUUUUCUAUGAGACCAGAUACUAAAGGAAAGGAGGGCGAACGCCUUAAAAGAGAAGAAAAAUCCUCGUCAAGGAAGGCUAGCUAGGUGGAAAUUCUCCUCUGAUUCAUAAGAUCCUAAAUCUACUAUUCUUGAUUCAAAGGGGUAGAGUUUGAAAACCCUAUCUCUAAAGGGGCGCCUCCACAGGCAAUAAAAAGAAAGACCAACAUUGUUCUACUCGAUCUCUGGUGGGACUCUUUCAAAGAGCACACAUGAACUCUAUACUUUGACUCAUUGCUUUCGAUGUCUUCGUGUGUAGCGUCAGUGGAGUGUUUCGGGAGUUCUUGUUUCACUUAUAUAUUAUAUAUAUAGGAUCCGGGUAACAAAGGAGGGAGGAGAUGGGUCUCGAGUUGCAAGAUCGGGAGAAGAGGCAUCCAAAUCUAUUACUUCUUCAGCGCUAAGGUACGAUUCGAUUGAUUAUAUCCUUAUGAAGUAACACUGCACCAGCUCCUUGUCAUGGAGAAUGGGCUUGUCCCGCUUCUGCUCCUGCAGUUGAUCAUGAAACUAAACUAUAGUACCGGUGUUGUCGUGGGCUUCUCUGCUUCUCUGCUUGUAUAGUAGUUGCCAUCACUCGGUAGAUGUAUUCUUUUGCCCUGCUCUCCGAGAUCCGAGAUCUGUUAUUAUUAUCAGAUUGAAUUUACAAUCCCCUUUUUCUUAAGUGCCUUCGUCUGAGUUGCUAGUGGAAUGAUUUGCUUUUGUUGCAAGAGGAGAAGAGAUACUUACUUGACUCUCUAGUACAUCUAGACUACCCUAUAGUUCAAUUGGUGUGAGUUUCAUCAUUAGUAUUAUUCUUUUCAGAGUGGAGGACCAGUAAAGGAUGGGUCCAGAUAUACACUAAAAAUGCAUUAUUUGAAAUCAGUGGAUGGCUUUUCAUGUUUGACACUUAACUGCUCCUCCGCAUGAGAACAUGGAUGAGGCUUCUGUAACGGAUUCCACUCGCCCAGUCACUACAAAAAGUGUAAGGGAAAUAAUCUAUUCCUUAAUUGUUGGUGCCUAAGGACAUCCUCCACUGAAAUAGAAGAAGCACAUUCUCCACUUAGUCUUGCCCCCACCUCUACUUCUUUCGCCGACCUCACCUAUCCUUUCAGUGGAAGUUAUGAAUUCAAUGAAAUCUCUAGCUGGUAUAGUUGUUACCUAACCGCUUCAUAUCUUGAUUAUUGCAUUGACCUUAGCCAACUAAGAAAGACAGAUUAUACUCGUCAAUUAAUAAGAUCGGCUUGAGAUGAGACUCUGAUCCUGAUGCUGCAUUGUUAACCCUCGUUGACUCUGUCGGUGAAGAAUCCUUAUCUCUUGGUGGUUCAUAACUAAAACACUUUGGGUGCGAAGGAAGGUGGUCAGCUUAACUUCUUGGCAUGCUUUCUUCCUCUGCGAUAUGGCAUGCUUUCUUCCUCUGCGAUAUAAAGAAGAUAUUCUCCAAAAGUAGGCCAGUUCAGUUGCCAAAGGCUAAGUCAGUAAUAAAUGAGUGAUUCCUCAAGUUAAGUUCGGGAGCCAGAGGUAGAUUGGAGUUCCGUUUUCACCGGUAUUCAUGGCGUCAGCGUUAAUAUAAGUGCAAUUCCUUCAGAUGUUUCUUCACAGCACAGAUUGUUUCCCGGGCCUACCUCUGUUAAGGGGAAUGCGCUAGCAAUUAUUAUAAGGGCCUUCUAAUAUCUAGCGCUUCCAUUCUUUAGUGCACUACCGGUAAGUCCACUCAUAGACUCAAUGAAAAGAUUUGACUGCAAAAGUAUGUAAACGACCCCUGAAAGUAGUCGUCUCGAAUUGUUCACACUGUUUACAGCCCCAACAAGUAUGUAACAGAGCCAAUCCAUCCACCCGGUUCUCCAGUAUCUAUAGUAGAUGCAUUAUGAAUUAAUCUUUAUCCAGAGUUGUGGUAAAGUAGAUAUGUCUUCGGCGGUGAACUUGCCCUUACUUAUAGUCUGCGAGUUGAUAGUGGAAUGAUUUGUUGAAAGUAUAGUUCUUGUUCUAGGUUCUUUGUUGAAAGUAUAGUUCUUGCCCCAACUCGUCAACACGGGAAAGUCUUUCACUCCAGGUUCAUUCUUAUAGUAAGUAGAAGAUACAAGCAACAUAAUCCGGUCCAGGUCAAGUUACAGUAUAAAGUCAGUUAGCAAACGAUUCCUCAAGUUACGUUCAAUUAUCUAGGAAAGUUGGAUUUCAUUGUCUAGGAAACAACCAGUACUUUAUUCUCUAAGACUACUUACUAUAGUACUUAUCGCCUCCCUUAUCGCUCUGUCCGCCUCUCUUAUCGCUCUGUGAACCCCUAAGCUUGUAUAUAAACAAGGGCAAUCAAAUCAAAGGAUUAGAAGCAGUGAGAAAGUCAGCAUCAAGCGGGCUAGUUCCUGUUGUUGUCCACUCGAGAAGAAAAGAAUACUGUAUAGCUAACUGAGUGGGCACUAGAGAAUAAAGAGUAUGUAAGAGAAUUAGAGGGAUAAUCAGAGCGGAGGCAUAAGAUAAAGAUAGUACUUGCUUUGAUACUCAAGCAGGAGAAGAGAAAGAGAGUACGGGGUAUUACUUACCGCUACUCCUUAAAAUAGUGGAAUUUGGGGUACUUAGUUAUCCUCUCUGUAGGAAGCUGGUCUUCAAUUCUUACAUCUUCGGGGUCUAAUAUUUGCUUUUACUACCUUUAUAGUUGCCCGUACAAGGUCUGGCUAAUGCGGUGGAGAUAUACAUAGGUGAGGGCAAGGUAGACCUGAUCCUAGCCACCAUGGAUGACUUUCAAGUGGUACUGGGGAUAUACUUACUAAGGCAAGUAAAGGAUUCUAAACCACACAUGAAUUCGCUAUGCAUUAUAGAAUAGAAGACACCCGCAUGCUUCCUCUGGUACAAGGGACCAAUAAAAGACCAAGGUAAUGCUAUCCGCCAUACAGCUUAGAAAGGCUUUAAGAAGAAAUGCCUACAUUAGUACGUUUGGUUUACCUUCUUCGUUCUACCACUUCCGGGCCCAAUCUUAGUUAUGUCCCUUAGUUUGCUGGGCAUACCAUUCUAAUGCUCUCGAAAGAGACAGAUUGGCAUAUGUUGUUAUAUGCUUCACACAUGUACCUUUGACUCUGCUUUAUAGAUGUCUCUUUUGCUUAAAAGACCAGACCCGAUCCUUUCUCCUGUUCCAGAAACGAAUUUGUGUCUUUUGAUUAGCUGUCACAUUCGGUCAAAUGGCACAAAGUGUGAAAUUGGCCAGUGUGCGCAGUUUCCUUUUCUCUUUUGUAUAGAAGGUUCAAAGAAUAGUAAAUUGCAUACGGUUUGUAGACAGAAGUGCCCGAAGGAAGGUCCUCUAUUCGUAUUCUAUAUAAACUCUAAAUAGCAUAAGGGAAGAAAGAGCAAGUAAAGAAAGCCCGUAAGGGAGUCAGACAACUAAUAUUCUGGUUCUACCACUGCAGGGCCCAAUCCGCGGUUGCCUUUUUGCCAUUACUAAAGCCGUCCAAGGGAAAGGGAUCCCUUGCUUUUUGGGGGAUUUGGUCUGUGUCAAAAGAAAUAAAGGAUGUGCAGUUGCCCAUAUAGUAGCAAUGGGGUGUCGCGGAAGCCACGUCUGGGUCCAGUUGUGCCCCUCAAGCAGGAAAGGGGUUGCCAUUUCUUGCCCCUUGGCGAUGGACCUGGCUAAAUUGGAAGCAAGAGAUCGCGAAACAAUGCGUCGACUCCUUUUGAAACAGAUCCCAUCCAUUUUCCAUUCUUUCCUCCCUCCAUUUUCUCCUAGCGGAGCGGGCAUACCGUCAAAAAGUAAUAAAUUGUAAUCCCCAACGACAAAUGAACGGCCAUUUUGGGGGACUAGCCAGCUUCCCAUUAAAAAGAAAGAGGGAAAUUCAUUGCACAUACAUUAAGGGAGCCAUUGAAAGGUUACUAAAACACCAUAACUUUACUUUAGAACAGAAAUAGAAGUUACAUUGAGCAAUUAAGCAAGUCAAGUGGGCGAGCAGUUUUAGGUUACUUGUAGGGCGAAGGAAUCAGAUUUGUUGACUUGACUUUAUGGGCUUUAGAACAAGAUUUGUUGACUUGACUUUAUGGGCUUUGAAACAAGUAACUGCUAAUGUGUAGCGUUAGUGAGCUGAGUGUUACAUCUCUCUUUCUAUACAAGGGCUCGAACUCAGAACUCGCUUGACUAUUGAUUCCAAUUCAAGGACAAUCUCUGGCGCCACUCUACAGUACUCUCUCUGUCUCAAGGGAAAGAAGCUCGUUGUGAGUAUAUCAAAGGUAAUACUAAAUCAAUAAGAUCUUCUGCUUUAGCUUCUGCUUCAGCCCUCGAAAGAUCAGUAUUAGUGGACUCGGCCCAAGAAAGAAGUCUAGGUUUCACUGGUUUACUUCCAGCUGUGUUUAAGUCUGCAAGAGAGGGUUAUUGAAAUGAAUGGGUUGCACUCUCUUCUCAAGAGCAAGUAUUAGUGGCGGCUACUAAUUCACCUUGAAAGAUUCCAUUCCGUAUUUGUAGAAUGGAGUGGAGGCGCAGUUCCUUUUCUAGGAUCUAGUGCAGGAGAAUAAGCAAUGGAUGGAUUCCAUUCAAAUGAAACAAGUGCUUAGGCGUGUCAAGGAAGGGGCAACUCUAUAACUCAUCGCUAACGCUUUCAACUCUUCUAAUGCGAGGGGGGCGCUCAAUAUUCUAUUCAUAAAGCAGCGGGAACAAGUUUCGGAAUAGCGAUUCCAUUCUUUAAGUAAUAAGUCAAAGGGAAGCCGAGCAGUAGUUAGUUUGUGCCAGCAGGUAAUAGGUUCGUUUGUGUCCGUAGUACAGUCAGUAAUAAUGAGUGUUGUUACCCAAAAGAACUUCCGUAAGCUAAAGCCUUACCCGACCCAGAAGCUUGAACUUUCCCGAAUGCAUUUCAACAGCUUUUCGGUCAAUGGUGGAAGGCGAAGGAAGGCGGUAAGCAAGAAACGGUUGGUUUGAAUUUGCAUUUAGGGUAAGGGGGGUCUUGUAUAGAAUUGUUGGUAAUUAAGGAAUGAGAGGUGAAGGCCGACUACACGGUUUGAGACUCUAGCUCGUUGUCUUGGUCUUGUUCGAGUGCUUGAGAAGGAAGACCAUAAUCUCAGUUCCACAAGUAGAGUUAGAGUGUUGUCUAGGUUAUUGGCGCUUUACCUUGUAUAUGAGUUCGGAUCGGUUUACAGUGGUGUUGUUGGUUCAUAACUUGUAGUUGAUUGUCUGGUAAUAGCAACGUACUAACAAACAUACUAUGAGAGUCAAAAAAUCGUAGUAAUCGUUUUCUUGUUAUAUCGUUUUGUUGAUGAAUCGCAUCUAUUCCAUUCAUUUGUUCUCUCCUCAAACUACAGGGAGGAAGUUGCUUAGUUGAACAUAGUAACACUAAGGGACGCCACGGUCUUUCUUUGGAGUCUUCUAGCCAAGGUCCGGGUUUUCUCUUCGUUUCAUCGAUCGGUCGCCUUGCUCCGUUCCUUCGUUGCACCGGAAGUGGAUGGAGUUUUUCAUAUCUUUCACUUACUUGUAGUUCUGUUCUUUUCCAAAGUGAAAUGCAAUGGCCAGUUAACAGCUCUCUUGGUUCUUUCUUCGCUUGGAGCGAUCUAGAAUGAUAAGAUCCUAUUGCGGGGCUUCUUGUAAUCCAUCCUUUCUUUAGAUAGGGUAGGUACUCAUACUACAAGAUUGUUUUUUGGACGCUUCUGGUGCUUGAAAUCCCCUCUUUUCUCCUUUCUCCUUCUCUUUCCCUAUUCUCCAUGGCUUUGUUGGUUGCUUGGCCGUGUCGGGAUCCUUUCUUUCUUCUCUUAUUCUAUUUUGAGUUGGAUGGGCAAGGCUCUCUCUUUUUCUUUGAAGCCUGCAGUCUGGCGAUCAUGAAGAACAAAUCUUGAUGUAUUCCCCUAGAUAUUCCCAAUCUGGACUUAUUCUAUCCUAUAUUACUAAUCUUUAUUUAUUCUAUAUUCAUAUUAAUUCAUUUAUGGACAAAGGCUUUUCCUAUACUUGGAAAGUGUGUAUCAUCAAUUGAGCAGCCUCUACCGAUGGUUUGGUUGUUCCCUAUCUCGACCUUCGUUGGGUGCUAUAGCUGGUCAGGGACGUUGUUUGCAGCAUUUUCUGGUGCUAUCUCUCUCUGUGUGCAAAUCUACAUCCAUCCCGUAGGCUUCGUUGCCGCCAAUCUGUGCAUCAUUCUUUUCUGCUUCCAUCUCCCACAUCUUCCGCAGUGGUAGCAGCGACUUCUUCCUAACUGGUUUGUUACUUGGCUGUGCUAGUGGCAGCAAUGGCCUCAUCCUGGUCAAUAAGUGAAACAUGACUAGUUGGCAACUGGUUUUCAACGAUUGGAAUGUUUGCUUUUUCUCCUUUCAAGCUCUCUGUAACCUUUUACUCCAUUGCCUCUAAAACCAUGAAAGCUAUUGACUCGCCUGGACCUACCUCUGUAAACUGGCUACUAUUCUCUAUGUUGCUUCUCUCUUACGAAACGCUAUCUUUAAUAAUAACAGAUAUUUUGAUGCGAAGGAAGGUAGAAAAGAAAUGGUAUAAUAUAGGACUCUGGAAUAACGAGUGGAAUCAGUAGUAGUUACUUGUCUCCAAGCUCCCUUAAGCUAUACUUACGUAGUUACUUGGCGGAGAGACAGCUUUUAAGUCAGUAGCGAAAGCCUUAGUUAUGUGGUUAAGCAUGAGGUAGUUCGAGCCUUGUUACCGAUCAGUCCCACUUCUAUUAUGAGUAGUUGGAUUCCCACUUUGGAGCUUUAUUCUUACCCCUUCCCUUAGUCGGUGCAGAAAGGAAAGGAUUCAAGUGGCCACUCUGACUCUUACAGAUAGUAUGAAAUCCCCUGUUUUCCUAACCGGGCAUGAUAGUUUUCAGAAUUCAAGUAAGUAAUGGAAUUCCUUGUUAGUGGAGUAAGUCAUAUAGAAAUUCCGUAUUGGUAGCACUGGUUUCGUUCUGUUAGGUAGUGCUCAAUUACUGGUUGAUAGUUGAGUUUUGCUACUAGCAAGUUCAAUUCCAAGUGUGUGUGGGGCAUAGUAUAUAUUCUGCAUUUCCGUAUUGGAAGCAUUAUAGCAAAAGUCCUGUUAGCUGCGAUUUAAGCCUUAUCAGUAGUAGCUCCAUUCUAGUAUGCCCGAGCUCGGGCCCUUUUCUCAUAGAUUUCUGCUUUUUAUUGGUUGGUAGUUUUCUUCUAAGGCCUCUAUACACGCUAUAGGGUUCGGUGUCAGUAGGGCUCUUGAUUGACUCCAUCUUUCUACGUGUAACACAUGGAUUAGACUACAAAUACUAACGAACCUUCUACCGAACUAUACCUCUAACCUUCCCGAACUAUAACCACCAUUCUCAUUUCUCAUUGAAAACCACCUUGCUCGAUCCCGGCAUUAAAGAAAGAAUAGUACAAGCGAAGGGGCUAAGUCAACCCCAAGAAUUCCACUUCUUUAGCCUUGGGCCUGCUACUUCUAAGUUGGAUUCUGAGAUUCCUUAUGAACCAUCAGGUGUUCCCUUCUUUGUUUCCUAUCCAAUGUAUCUCCUCACUUUCGAAUUUCAAUCUGUAUUUCCAGUAAAGUAUAAGUACUCUUAACACUAAGUUGAAUUCUCACUUGAAAACUUGGUAUUGGCAGCUGAGCGCUACUACUAUAUACUAUAAGAAUGAGCUAUGUUUGGAGGUGCCUCAGAUCAACCCCAUAAGAUAUGUGGAAAGAAAACAACCCCACUAUUUGUAUCAAUAGAAAAACGACCUUACUAUUGACAGUACCAAUGUUAUUGUGAUUCUUGCUUUUGUUUGGCAGUUCCGAUGCUAUUCUCUUUCUAUUGGUGUUGGAUUUCCCCGUGGGUGUUUUCACAGCCUUAUCCGUAGAAACAUAUUCUAGUAUAAGAUAAUAGGUAAGUGAUGCUCAUAAGUAAGAAGUCAAUGCGGAAUACAGUUUGGAAGCAAGUAAGAUAGGACUGGUUUCGCAGAGAAAGAGGAAGAGGAAGUACUCUACACCAACAGAGCCUGCCGCUACUGGUAUGAAUUCUCCAUCUAUUGACGCCAAGCCCACUUCCAACGAUUUCUUGCAUCUUGCCCAGGGCACCUUAGGCUUUACUGCUUACUUUGACUCUUCCACUACGGACCUCGGAUCCACCCUUCCCGGACAACUCACUGCCGAAAAGAGUGUAGCGGCGGAUUGACUACUUUAAAGACAUAAUAGGCUAUGUGGUUGGUGAGACAGAUACCUAGGUUUGGGCAAGGCGCAGUACCUGACUACUUAAGUGCAAUUCUGUUUCCUUUGGUUUCAUCCUUGCCUGUAGUACUAGGUUAAAAGCAAGUAGUGCAAAGAUCCUACUCAGUAGAGAUAGAAUCGGCGUAAAGAGUCACAGUCUUGUAGGUGAAAUACAUAAUGUGAGGGAGGUUUUCAAGUCAGUAGUGGUAGCAUAGGGUGGUGUAGUAGCUUUCUUCGUUUAUGGCGUGUUUCAUUCGUAUUAGCUCUAUUUCCUAUUAGGUGUUUAAUUCAUUCUGAUUAGUCCACAACCUCAAAUUAGUAUUUAGUAACACUAUUCUUAGUAUCCAAUCCGAGGAGAGGGACAGUGACUAGUAGUAUCAAUCAGAAUCAUAAUGUUCCUCAGGGAUAAGGAAUUCAAGCUAGUAGCGGUGGACUUAACUAGGGGAGAGGCUGGUUCAUAUGCAGUUGUGAAAGGAGAAAAGUGAAUAGCUCGAGUCCUGUUAGCUGUAGUUAUCAUUCCGAUAGUAGUAAGUUCAAGUAUGAUAGUAAGGAGGUUCGCUAAGUCCUAUUUCUGCUAAGCAAAAGUGGAUUCUUGCCAGUACGGAUGCAUUUCUGGUUAUUAUCAGUUCCAUUCGUUAUUUACUAUUUCAAUGCCCUAUAGCUAUGCCCGGUAUACUCUAUUAUGUCUUUCAUUCCCUGGUAGUGGGGAGGUCGCCUAGAAGCACUAGCUCCAUUCUAAUAAGCAGUGAUUUCCGCCUUGGAACCGUUAGUUUCAGAAUAGAAGCAAGGUAAGUAAGGGCAGCGUGCUGGCUCAAAGGUCAGAGCGCUAGAAGGGUUUGAUAGCUAGGGGAUAAGGGCCUUAGAUAUGGUUGUUGACAUUACAAAUCAGAAUCAAAGGUAUAGUCAAUGAAUCAUAGGGUUGUUGGCGAGCACAAGUAAGGAAAACUGUCUGUUUGGGUGAGCUAAGCUCUAAGACUUCUAUUAGUCGGUGUCCUCUCUAGCAUAGGAAUCGGAAUAAGGAACACUGCAAUUGAACUCAAACAGAGACAUUAAACACAUAAAUACAGAAUUGAGCUCACCAGUAGCAUAAUCCAACUCCAAAGUCAGAAUGGAACUAAUAGGCAGUUUCUCUAAAUACAUAAGUGAGUACGUCACUCACAACUAGAGGUCUCCCACUCCCAGCCCAGUAUAUGAUUCUACAGCUUAUUGUUUGACUUGUCAUUCUUCCAAGCUAAAUGACCCAUGCCUUUCUUAGUAAAAGUAAAGGGAGAAUAACUAGAGAUUGUUCCUUAGUAAGUGGAAUGGAAAGUUCCUUAGUAAGUGGAAUGGAAAGCUUGCAAGGUCUAGACUGGUGAUCGAAAAAGAAAGAAUCCAUCUUGAUUAUUUGCCUUGGCCGGCCUGUUUCAAAGUACCUUCCAAAGUCAUAACCUGUUUCAAAGUACCUUCCAAAGUCAUAAAUAGAAAGAAGAAAUUCCAGAAAGACUGACUUAAUAGGCUAGGAAAACCCUACACUGUAUCGAUGGCACUGAGUCUUCGUCUUCAUCUCAAGCAAAAGAAAAUAAGCUAGAUCAGGAUCCACCCACGUAAACUAAGAGCAUUUCGGCAGAGGAUGCAAUACUGGCUUUAGCCUUACUACCUGAUGAAGUAGACAAUACAACUAGUACUGAAUGACAGAAAACAUACUCUGAGGCACUACUGGCAAAGUCAAUUGUGAAAAAACGGACUGGACUUUCAGACGUCAGCAGAGUGGAGCCUAUUUAUGGAUUUUCUUGACACACUAUCGGGAAUCGAGAAAAAGGCAAAGGGCGGCACGCACUUAGGAGCUUAUGUAAGUAAAGACUUGCUGUCGUUAGGGCAGUCUUUCCGGGUCAUUAUUCUUACUGAAUGAAAACCAUGACUAUAAUAUAAUGACAAUUUGUGAAUUUAGAGUACUACCGAGUUUGAUAGAAAGCUGUGCUAUGAUUAAGAGAAAGAUAUAGCCGUAAGCAAUUCACUUGAAAAGCGUUAAGAUAGGAGGCGAGCUACUCUCUACACAGGUUUGGAAUAUUACUAGCAAUCCAGUGGUACACAAACAAACUAACUAGAACCUUCUAUUACUUAUAGAAAACCUUAACGAACUAACUAGAACCUUCUAUUACUUAUAGAAAACCUUAUUUAUUCAUUUAUGAAACGGAAGAAGAGCUGCUACGGUGGGGGAACCUAACUAACCCAGUAAAUCCUAGGAGUCGGCACUUUUACUAAGAGCCCAGCAACUGAUCUAAAACAAAGGGGUCUAUUUACAAGGAUCUAAAACAAAGGGGUCUGUCUCUUGACAAGAAAGAAAGUAUGGAGAAAGUAUGAACUGGUUUCCGUGGGCGAACUCCUUCUACUAUGGGGGCCUACCCUACGACCCAUUUCAAUCGGGCCGCUGCGGCUCAACAAUUCACGCUCUUCGUAUCUGGGCUUUUCCACUACUCGGGACAGAGCUUUUCAGCAUUAGAGAAUCGAGACCGCUUACCGCCCUAUCUUUCACUUCGGGAGUUUCAUAUUAACAUAGCACUUCCAUCCAUACCUCUCACGAUCGGCGUUCAGUCUUUGUCUUAUGAAUUCGAUCUCUGCCUCUAAGGUCUAGGUAAAGAUCUGCACGUCCAUAAAUAAGGCAAUCGGUAACUGCGCUUCAAACCGAAUUAAGAAAGAGCGAGCGCAUCUGGUUACUAGAAAGAUCCUAUCCGACUCGGUCGAGCAAGACCCUAAGCAGGAUCGAGCUGAGGCUUCCACGACGGGUCCAGGUCUAUUACCUUAGUCAGUCUUUCAUUCAAUUCAGAGGUGCCGUGCCACAAGCCGCUCGAAUUCAGAGAAGAGUCUUAUUGGGCGACACAAAGAUCAGACAAAUUGCAUCCAUCGGGACAAGAUCGAAAAGAAUGGGACAUCGCUAUGGGAUUUGUUGGAAAACCCUAACCGCGACGACGUCUUCCCGUCUUUACCCUUGGUUAGCCCAAGGCGAGAUUGAAGACAAGUGUUUUUCUCGAUCUCGAGCAAGAAGCGGAACUCAAAGACAUUUCUGACGAUUAUGCCCAACAGCCCACUUGAGCAAUUUGCGAUUAUCCCAUUGAUUCAAUUGAAUAUAGGAAACUCAUCUUUCGAAAGCCACUUAAGUAGAAUUAGAAGUAUCUCCGUAGGUACUGUUUCAAUAGAUCACCUUUUUCAUUCAGUCAGUAGAAAUCUUGAUUAUGACAUCCCAAUUCCUUCCCGAGACCUCCCAAGGCGAAUCAGAUCCAAACGGGUGAGUUUGAGCUUAUCCAUGCGGCAUUCUUCGAAUAGGAAUCCAUUUGAUGAAAUAUCUUGCUUUGGUUUCCGAGAUCCUUUCGAUGACCUAUGUUGUGUUGAAGGGAUAUCUAAAAGAAAGAGAUUAUUCGAUCGAUUGCUUAAAGCCCGAGGUAGCAACGGAACCAGGGAAAGUCUACAGAAACCACGGUUAUAUUAGCAUUUUCUAUUUGUUAGUCAUCUCGGUUCAGUGAGUGCUUUCUUACUAUAUUCACUGGCUAGCUAGAGUCGCUUCACUGUAUAGCUUUGCUUGGGGCCUCUCUCUUAAAUAAAGGGGUGUUCCUGGUCAAAUGAUGGAUCAAGGGCUUGGGGCCUCUCUCUUUUCUACCAAUUUGGGGUAAGGCUAGAGCAGAAGCAUCAGAAGCAAGAAGCGCCCACAUAAGCUUAAAGGGCUUAGUAGACUACCACAAGGGCAGAAAUUAGCUAAUUCAUUCGGAUCGGGAAGAAGAUGGCUUCUUAUUGAAACUAAAACAUAGUCCAAAGCGAUUUCGCAGCUUAGUUGUGGGAGUCCUCCUAUAUCCUUCCUAAAGCUUCCGAAUGGGGAGAAUAUUGACGGCUGCACCAUUAUCCACCAAUACCUUUAUUAGAGGCAGAAGCUGGUAGUUUCACCUAUCCCUAGUAGAAAGCCGUGGAAAGAUUACCUUAUUUCUUCACCGGCUACCACUGACAGAAAGAACGGAACAGGAAGGACCCCAAUGACUACGGUUUGCCCGGAACCUACUGAGACCUGAUCAUGAGCGACUCUAGUUCUAAAAGCAUGUCUUGUAAACUAUAAGAAUGCUGAUCAAAUGCAUUUCCUUUUCUGAACCACACACCAAGAUCGAAAGAAAAGAAUGUAGUUCCUGGGCCUAUAAGACUGCCUGCUGAUUUGCUUGAUUUCUUCUCUUCUCAGUUGACGGUUUGAUAGGAUAUCGAUCGGUCUUUGAAUCUUGCUUUUAUCCACCCUUCUAGCUAGCCUAAUUGAAACGGGAGCAAAAAGGAAGGAAGGACGAUUUAUCCCCACGGUGCGGUAUACUGCUCCAUUGAUAAGAACUGCCUUCCUAUACGAAGAAAUCCAUCCUUAUUGGGUUUGGUUACAUACCUCCUGCAUGUACUUACUUCUGCAUUUCCCUAAAAACCUACUUCCUGGUGGCUACCAUCUCCCAUCUCGCUCUAGAAUAGAAAGGGAGGGCAGGGAAAUCUGGUACUAUCAAACAAAGGUCCCGUCCCACAGCGCCGACUACAACCUCACCAGAAUUCUCUCGUGCCAUUUGAUCCUUUCUGUGUGGGCAAACUACUAAUGUAUUGAUCAGGACGAAAACUCUACAAAUUACAUGGAAAAAGAAAACACAGGCCGCAGAGUCCUCUCAGUCCACGAGGGCGAUAAGCUUAGCACAGGAACUUAUGGUCUAAACUGACAGUGGAAUCGGGUCAACUGCCCUUUCUCGGUCGAAGCUUUAGAUCUCAGAGGUCCUUGUGAUCAAUCCAUUGGAAUUCUAUUGGUGUGUCGGUCGCCCACUCGGAAUGGUUACUGGACAAGAAUGACUAAAGGCCCUUUUCGCCCGGCCUGAUGAACUCUUCCUUUCAUGCUGGGCAUAGAGCUGCUAUGGCGGUGCACCUAUACAUCUUGAUGAACCUUACACAAUGGUGGAUCAUAUAUUAUAUAUAGGAAUAGGAUGGCUCACAUUACAUUAACAGCUCUUCCAUUCUUCCAGAGUGGUUUGAAUAAGUGGAAUCCCAUUUCUUCCAGAGUGGUUUGAAUAAGUGGAAUCAAAUACUAAAGGGUCCCCGGGAGAAGGCAUUUUAGGACAAACAUCUACACGUAACCAUGACCAACUUACUGUCAUGCUUACCGAAACUACUAGAAGUCGAACUCGCUCGCGGGUAGGGAGAAUUGGUUAACAUUCAUUCCCAGCUAACCAACUGAGUGACUAGUGGUGGGCAAGAGGGUUUACAGGGUUAGGUAGUUGAUUUAUGAAAUAGGAAUUCCUAGUUCACCAUUCGUUAGCUUUCGAAACUCCUGGGAUAUCGACGAGUCAUCGCCUUGAGUCUGCCCUUCCUAGUUAGGCAAUUGACUCUCGCCCUUACCAUAGGCACCGUUCGAUGAAAGGCACUAUCGACUACGUCUUUCUUGAGUACCGCACGAUGCCACUGUCCGAAAAGGGUAUCCGCCACCUCUGCUCAAAGGAUAUGAAUAACAUCAUUGUAGCUGGGCAACAUUGCGCUGUCCCUGGGCUGGUCAAUGGUUAAGGGUAGCUGAAUCCACUGUAGGCGAAGUGGUUACCCGAACCCACCUACGAACCUCGAAUAUACGCGAAACCGGUUUCGUAUCUAAGAGCUGGAUACCUUCUUAUUAAGAUUUUUUCUCGACUCUUUCGAACAUCGUUUUCUGGACUCAGACUCACUAGCGAGUGCAUUUCCGUCUUAGAGCUUGAGCAGUUUGUCAAGUAGUCAGAGGAUUAUCGUGCUGGUCUUACUAGCAAUGACUUUAUUGCGGGUGCUAUGGAAUAGUUGGUGGGGGAGUUCCAUCAUCAUCCCUUCAUGAAGUAUGUAAGGUAGUUGAAAGAAAGCUAAGGGCCAAUGACUGGGGCUCUUUUCGAGCGCAAUAAGGGAGUCCCUCAGGUUAAAGAUAUUCUCACUGCCAAUAGGAAGGUAGAAUGAUAGCCUAUAAAAACUAAAUGGGGCUUCUUCUUUGGAUCUGUGUUACUCAUAGGGUUGACUGCUUGGUGGGUCGAGAAUGCCUUACAACUAACUCUCUUUGUCCGGGCUUGGCUGGUUUCUUGGGUCCGGUCCUUAGCUGGUGUGAGGCAAGAAGGAAGAGAGAGGCCUGUCUACAUGCGUUCCAAAGCCCUGGAUCAGAGUGCUUCGCCCUACCACUAGUAACUCUAUUGGAAUUGGUCGCUCCUUGAUUAGAGCAUGGCAAUUCGAUUCAGAUUUGGCAAUCAAUUAGAAGGGUCCGGUCCCCCAGAGGGAGAUCAAGAAACCGCUUUGAAUCUCUGAGUUUAUCCCCCGGGUUCUAAGAAUAGCUGGUGCCCUAAAGUACUCUCCCCGGCUCAAAAACGGUUAGUGACUGGUCAUAAAACGCCCGGACUGGUCUGUCUAUAGAAUGCCCUAAAGUCCACAGUUCGGAAACCAAGGGAGUGCCAUUAAGGAGUUCUUGAGAUCGGUACCUGUCAGUCAGUGCUCGCUUUCUCUUAGGCAAUGAAUUGAGAGUGGAGAAGUCGUCUGUUCUAGGCAUAGCUUGAACCCGAAAAACAUCUAUUCUGGUUUUUGGUAUCGAGAAAUCCCCUUAUUUAUUUCUGACUAACUACAAUGCUACACUCGCCGUGGGAAUAAAAACACCUGAAUGCAUGACUAAUUGGGAGACAACAUAGUAGUGAAAUUGGUGCCUUAGUGCCAUAGAAAGUGAUUCGUAAGGCGAGCGAGGUGGACAUCAGUAAUUUCGAUUGCCAGCAAAAAAGACAAGUAAUAAACGGAAUGGAAGAUCUCGUUUUCUCUGUCCCCCUUUCUCCUUAGUAAGCAAAAAAGCGAGAAUCCUAUUUUGUAUGCUUAUGUGCACAAUCCCCAGCUAGGGUAUCGGUAAAGCCCUUUUUUGUGAUAUAUGAGAAUGGAUUGAACGAGUUUCAAGCAAGUUCCAAUUCAAAGGUGAGUCGGCAUGUAAUGGACUGGUAGAUUAGGCUCCUAGCUGCUUCCAUGGAAUGAGAUUCGAGUGCGUGGAUAAAGGAAAUGAGUAAAACUGCUUCCUUCCGUCUUUCAUUAGGGUUCAUCUAUAGGGAAAUCAUAUAGUACGGGUUCAUCUAUAGGGAAAUCAUAUAAUAACUACGUCAGAGUCGGAGUGCCACCCCGCAGAGUGAGGCUUAGUUUUCAUCAAGAGCUUGUUCAUUCAACAGGUUUCCGUCAAUCCAAUCUAGCUUCGUAUGUCUACCCUAGCUAGAGAGAGUGAAGAUGGAAUGAUUUGACUCCAACUCCUAGCGUGCUAAGCCUCCGUAUGCUUUUUCAUAAGAUCCCUCCCACUACUCAGCUUAUUAUUUCUUGAACGGAACUGCGAGACUAAAGGAUGUGAAACCGCGCAGAGGGUGAUGGAAAUGCCAGGAACGUGGACUGAUUGAAUACUCUCUAGCUUAGCGGUACCCUUUUUUAGGAUGUGAGCAAAUAACGUCAGCAAUUAUCAUUUCAUUGUCCUAGUCCUAAGGAUGUGAAGCAGCGGGCGGGCUUACUUCUAUCUUAAGAUGUGAAGCAGCGGGCUUACUUUUUGCUUUUAUAUAAAGGAGAAUAUAAAUGAAUGUUUAUAUAAAGGAGAAUAUAAAUGAAUGACAUCGUAAUAUAAAUGAAUGGCAUCGAAGCUUUAUACUCAAGAAUCCAAUUCGACCGCUUCCCUAACUAACCUAUAUUCAACAUCAAACAAGUUGCUAACUGCUGCUGAUAAGCGACAUUCAACCUGGCCAAGCAACGCCGAAACAGACUGACCCAAGGGAGUUACAGAAUGAAACCCGAAAGUAAGAGUUGAGCUCAUAUAAGCAAGAAUACAAGUAAGUAGCCCGGACUCAAACUAUUCACCCUAAAUGCGACUACUUCAAUUAGAACUCUAGAACGGAAAUGACCCUCGGGCAACCAUACUCUCGUGCUACUACCCUUGACUUUAUAUGCAUUCUUACUUCCUUCUGCUUCAAAUACUGUCUUUUAUUCUGACUUUCCUACUUUACUACUCGCUAAACAUUACUACGCUACCUUAGGUGAAUUCCACAUUUCCACUUGCAGUUCUGUGCUGUUGAAAGCAAAGAAAGGUCGGUGUUGACUCGCUACCGCCCAGAAAACAACACUUAGUCAUAAUUCUGUUUAAUAUAAGUGAUGUGUUCGGUUACGCGGCAGUCCGGGCUACUUAGUUUGCUGUGGUUCCAUGUUAUACUAAUCGUGUCCUGUAUUCGCGAUAUACGUCUGAUACGGCGCCUAGAUAUAACUGAUACUAAUAUACUGGAGUUUUGUUCUAGUACCACCUUAGGAGUUGCAGAAUUCUAGCAAGGACAAUAAGAAUCAGAGAAUGGGGGUAAGUUCAGAUCCGAGGUCAGUAAUGCCAAGGUUCGAGGGUAGCUGGGGAAGAGUCAAGAUAGUAGGCCAGUUUGCCAGUAUAGAGAUUCUAGUUUGAUGAGUUUGAUUCUAAUAGUUAGCAGCGAUAGCCUGUUUGCCCGUCGUACUGUUCGCCAGAGUUCGAUUCUCUCGUUAGUAGAAGUAAAAGCCUUUGUUCCCGGCUCAAUUCUGUAUGUUGACUCCUGUUCUUCUGCUUAGGAGUGCGGUUCCCUCCUAUCCUCCCGAUACCCGCUCUUUUACUGAUGGGCUGGAUUCUUUAACUCCAAAGUGAGUAUGCAAGGGAAAACUCCGAGUCUGAUGGACGGGGAAGCAAGCCGUGGAUGAAGCCAGGGUAGGCUAAGAAGUAGGAAAGCUAGACUUCAAGCAAGGGGCGGGUCCCCAAGUAGUCAGGAUGCCAGGAAGGAUACAUAGAAUUACAGCAGAGGGCCCCCAAUUUGAAUAACUCUCCCAGAGUGGACAAGCGAUACAUAAAAGGUCUGCUGGGGCAUAGAAUAAGACGUGUACCGCCAGGUUAAGUUCAAUUAAAUGACGAAGUAAGGGUUAGGUUAAGCGGGUAGUGUUUAAGAGUGAAAGCGCUGAGAGGGAAGGAUUAAUAAAAGGGGAAAGAAGUCAGUUUGGUAGUUAUCAUUGGAUAGUUAGCAUUGGAUAGUUAGCAUUGGAAGAACCGCCAAGUCACUACAAAUGUGACAAUGAAUUCUUUGUUUACGUUGACCGCUCAAAAGAAAGAUUCCAGUUUUCUAGAUUCGAUCUAAAUUCCCAAACAAGAACAUGCGCUCGAAAAUAACUGUUUGAAGCUGAAGCAUUAAGUAUUGUCAGGACCAACUGCUCUCAUAUCAUAUAAAAAAGGGUAAUAUGUUAGACUCAAAUGAACUAGAACAACUGAUAGUAACCUAAAUGGGAAUUUGCCCAUAAUCGGAGUCACCCCUAUGUGAAACUUAGCUAAAUCAAGGAAUAUACUAAGAUCCAUGUGGAGCAAAGCAGAUCUCCGUUAAUUGAGUUAGAGUGAAAGCACCAGCAAACAGGAUUGAUAUCUGAAGCAUAAGAAGGAAAGCCGAUGAAGCAUAAGAAGGAAAGCCGACAAUAUCAUAUAUGUUAUCAAGCCCACGUAGCGGUAACCAAUAGGUUGGUUAGCUGAAAGAGCGAGGUCAGGCAAAUCAGAAUUCCAUUCAAAAGUCCGGGUAUGAGUAACAAAUAUAAGAAUCAAACUAAUAAGUAAGCCUACCUGUCUUGUCAGUGAAUCAAGUGAAUCAAGCUAAUAAGUAAGUAUACCUGCCUUUGGAUAUGAGCUAUAAGCCAUUGAAUAGUAUAUAUCAGAAUGGAACUACCAGCUCAACUCCUUGUUUCGAGUUCCAUUUCUCGUAUGCCUGGGUUCGGGUCUUGUUAGCUCGGGCUCAACUCUAAUAGUCAGCAGCUCCAGCCUGUUUGCCAUUGGUUCUAUUCCGAGAAGCAGUAGCAUUGGUUCGAUUCCCUUUAUUGAGUAAGUCAGUCAGGAAGCAACGGGCCAAGCAACGACUAGACAAGACGGCCCCCCAUUGCCUUGCCUUCGACCCAGAUAGAAAACAUUUGGGUUCUUCGCUGCUUCUAUAUUGCUCAGUAUAGCACUCUAAGAAUCAGUUUCCAACAAACGGGUGUUUUUCUAGAAUCAAUCAAUCUAUUAAUAUAGGUGGCCCAAUAAACUACAUGAAUGGAAGAUGUUUAUGAUGACUGGAUUGACGUAAGGACCAGCACGCUCGCUAUUAAAGGUAGCUUCUAGCUCUACCCUUUGUCUUUAUUUCCCCUUUCUUUUGAUUCAAAAAAGGAAUGGUGAAUAUAGCCUUUAGUCUUUAGUUAUGGUGAAGGAACCUUGGGCUCAGGACGGAUUUGACAGGUUCGAUUCUCUUUGAUUUUGUUUGAUUGAGAGUAAUAGUGUGCCUUAAGAAAGAUGCGUACCAACGAGGGAAUGAAUCGACGAAAAAGUGGAAAUCCGAAAUUAGCAAAGUGUGAAUUCUCUUGGAAUUGUAAUAGUAGAAAGGCUUAUCAAAUUGGACAACACAUUUGAUUUGAGAUUAUUCGCCCUCGUAUUAUACAUCAGCUAGAAGCUAUUUUGGUUCAUCAGCUAGAAGCUAUUUUGGUUAAGGCCCAUUAGUAUUAGUUGUUCUUGAAUUAGUGUCCUAUUUCUUGUCACUACCAAUUAUAGACGAUACCGAUAAAGAGUUGUCGGACUUUGUGAGUGCAGUAAUACCGUCUGCGUAGUACUCAUUCUUUCUGUAGAAUUGAUUAGGUCGAUACCAUAACCUACACUACAUAGUUAUGUAGCUCCUAUGGGAGGAGGAGCCCAUGAUACGAGUAAGCAAACCAAUGCGCCCAGCCCACUCCGAGAGCUAACAGGUGGAGCGGUCGGUAUUCUCACUGACAGGUUGUAGGUUCGAAUCCUACGCGGGGUUACGAAAGCUCAAAGAAGUAAAUAGAGAAGCUGUUAGCAUUGAUUUGCGAAUGAAAUAAGUCUGUGAAUAGAUUGACUGCUCUCGCAUAUCAGCUGUAGAAAGUGAAUAUAGCAUAUCAGCUGCCCUUCUUACUAGGCUUACUUUAGGUCGGAUAGUUUUCAAGUGAUCAAGUCAAAACUCUUUUAUGUCAAUAGAGAAAGCACAUUAAGAAAGAAAGCAAGUAAUUAGGUUUAUUGUUGAGAAUCUUUUGAAAUGGGUUCCCUUUCUUUAUCUUUAGGGCGAAGGGAUGGGCUUUCAAGGGAAUGAAUAGGCAUCUGAUAAGACCCCGGCCCCUACGAACCUCGUUAUUUCUUUUUUCCACACUAGGAACAUAGUAGUGGUUGUAGCUUCGCUCCCUUUGCCACCGGCCCUUGAUAUCAAAUAAGAAAACCACGAUCUCGAUCUUUCAACGAGGAAAUGAAACGCUAGAACAAGAGCAAGCCCAAGAGAAAAAAGAGCUCUUCCAAAUCCAAUAUAUCAUAUAAUUUCAUAUAGAACAUAUAAUUUCAUAUAUUAGGGGUAAUGAGGUCCGACCAGACUACGGCUUCGGCUCCCUCCUCCUCGUAAUAGAACUCCAACUGACUCAAUCUAUAGGUCAUAGGAAUGAACCGUUUUUACCCGAUCUGUCUCCUUACCAUGGCUGGUGCAUAGCUAAUGCAUCCCCAAGGUCCUAACAGGGGAACUAAGGGUCAUUACCACAUCUGCAAGGGUCAUUACCACAUCAGUAUAAUACCUGACACGGAGCCGGGCCCCAUACAAUACUUUUCUCAUUCAUGUCUUGCCCAUACAAUACUUUGAUCAUUCAUGUCUUGAAGGAGACUUAACCUAUUGAAGUUUGGUAUACGGUCCCGUCCAUUUGCUCUUCCUAAAUUCUUAUACAUGGAUUUUCUCCUGCCGGCUUCGAUAAUUGGCGUUCGCAGCACUCGAGAUGACUUCUUAUCCAGACGUACAAUAAUGCACCCUAUGAAUCGUCCUUAUCCUUUGGUCCGGAAAAAGAUUGGAACGUAUUCGCCUGUAUUGCUGGUAAAGGGUUGGUUCCAUGUAUGACUUGACUGAAAAGAUCCACCACUCGAACAUCCACCCAAGGCCUUUGGGGGAAGAGAUAGGUUCUAACCCAGAGUAAGCCAGUGCCAUAAUGAGUAUGCCCGCAUCAGAAUCUGGGUGCUGUUCAACAACAGUCUGCAGAGGAAUGGGCUAGUAUCAAAACCUAAACCUUAUCCUUUAUGUACGGAUCCAGUUCAUAUGCGUGUAUGCCCAUCAUUUUCGCGAGUUAGCUCUUGAAACCCACCUUUCCGCUCAUGCAAAUGUUCAAAAGGCUUUGUUUGUCUGGACGGCACAUUGAGCAAGACAGUGUAUUCUUCAAUGGUUAAGAGUAAUAUCAAUUGAGCCGAAAGUAUAGCAUCGGUAGUUAGGAUCCCGGACUGGCAGCCUUUAGUAAUUAGUAAUUGGUCGUCAAUGGGAACUUUCAGAAGAGAGCCAAUGUGUCCAUACUUACGGCAAAAUUAUGGCUUUCUUUCUUUAUAGUAGCAAACCAUCCUUUACAGACCAGACCUUAUCCAGUCCAGAGCGAAACUAUAGUUCUUCCUAGGAUCCAGGCUACCUUUUUAGGCAAUGGAAUUCCCUUUGUUUAUGGUAGGAAAUCUAAGGCCAAUAAUUCGAUCACCAUUCCUGGCUCUUCGCAUAUGGAGAACUCGAAGAAUUAGGGUUAGGCUGUAAAUUACAUAGAAUUAGAAAAAGCGAUAAUAAAGAGGGUCUUUCAAUGAUAGCUAGGAGCGCUGUUUCCUCCAUAUGCUAGAUUCAAUGCCAUAGAGGAUAGGGAAAAGAAAGGAUGCAAAAGUAACAAAAAGAAAACACAGAGUUUGUAAAGUGAAAAGAAAGGUAGAGUUUCCAGGAUAUGAGUAAGGUAAGAUAGCCGCUUUUGCCUAAGCUGAGCUUUCUUUCAUAGCUUUUGCUGUAAACAAAGAAAGACUUAGAAUCAUCCUAGUACUAAUCGGGGGAACUUCCUCUAUAAAGGCUCAUUUUCACCCUUCUAUGUCCCAAAGUCAAGUUUCAAUCAUGUUCUCCCUUCUCUGUCCCAAAGUUCCGUUUAAGUAUAGAAUCCAAGUUCUGUUCUAUCAGUAUAGAAUCCAAGUUCUGUUCUAAUGGAUUUAGACUAGCAAUUCCUUCCUUUCGCCUAAUCAAAGAUAUAAGGUGGCACCCAAACGAAGAAAUAAGAUAAGGCCCUCCUCACCUCAAUGCUAUGGAUCAGAACCCGUAGUCGAGUGGCAGAAGGCUCAGUAAGAAUCCAUUCUUGCCUUGAAAGAAAAUCCAACUAAGCCCAUUGCUUUGACUUUCUUUCUUGGAAGUAUUUGAUUCGUUGCAAGCUUUGGGAUUGCUAGUAUUGCUUGCUUUCUCAAUCAUUGUCGAGAGAGAUGGAACUGAUUGAUUGGAGCGGGUAAUGUUUACCGUGCGGGCUUAGUAACGAAUGGUUCAUGAGGAAACAGGAAUGUUUUAGUUGAUCAAGGAAGGGUUUGAGUAGAAAAGUCAUGAAUGGAAUUGACUUGCUGGUGUUAACUUGACUACCUUGGUUUGUGAAACAGUGAUGCCUCCAAGGUCGGGUAGAGGGAAGAGUGGAAUCUCCAAACUCAUUGGUCGAUGAAUUAUGUAUUGAUCAAUGGUUGUUAGCGAAUUGAGGCAAGGAUAAGGAUGGUUUGUGGCUCGUUCAGUUCCCCCACGCCCCUAUGGUUUAUUAACCUCUGGAAUACCCCUUCUUUUUCUUAAGCCGUCUGUGAAAAAGACCUUCACCAUCUCUGAUUGCCCUCGUCCAUGGUCACUGAUAUCAUAUAACCUCUGAUCUAGUAAUCUGAUCCGUGUGCACCUCAAACGGCACAUCGUCGUCCGGGCGCUUUAUUAAUAGGUUCUACAGAAGGUUGGUAAUAUACUCUUAUGUAAGUAAGCGUUCUUUCUUCGCGUCCGUCAUCGCCUGCUGCUGGUCUAGCCUUUUGACAACGAUCAACAAAUCGGUGUUGGUAAGAGUUUUUCGCCUUAAUGAACCGCCGGUAAGAGUUAACUAGUCCCAAACAAACCUAACCUCUUCGACUCGUUUCGGAACCUUACAUUCUCGUCGAGAUAUCCGCUGGCUCGUACCUUCCCAUUGUCCAUCUUGAUCAUUUCCUCGCUAAUUAAUCCAGUGGCCAAUAACCGUUCUUUCUGGUCUGCGAUGCAUUCUUGGCUGCCCCAGUAGUAGUCAUUGUGUCGUGGCACUCCUUUCUUUUGUAGUGACUUUCUCCAAUCUAUAUUAGGCGCUAGAUUGCAUUCCCUUUUGUGGAGCCUACUGAUCUUGCUUGCCAGUGGGUGGGAUAGAAGACCUCUUUUUAUCUGUCUUUCGCCAGGUUCCAAAUAGCAUUAUGUCUAAUAGCAUAGGUUUCAAAUCCAAUAAAAGAGUUCUUUGCGAUCAGUUCUAAAGCCAGCCUUUGAAUUGCAGGGUUUUCUCGUGAAAAGAUAGUGAACAAGGUGCUAUUAGAGCAUACCGACCUGACUCAACGAACACAAACACAAUUAAUAGAAUCAGCGUACUCGCCUCCAUAUACGCCAUCGCCUCCAUAUACGCCAUUUAUGAAGAUGGAAAUACUUACUGACUCCGCCCGCCGUCUCCCUCCCCUAAGACUAGCCAUACGUAAGAAGCCCCUAUUUCCACGCAUGCGUGUCAGACCGUAAAGGAAGGAGCAGCAUAGGUAUAUUAUUCGAGGUAAAACCAUGAUUGUUUAUAGUACCGGAAGGGUUUGGCUCGCGCUUUAGCGUCAGGCGCUCUAUUUUCUUUCCGCUGACUGGAGACUCAACCUUUAUACUGCUUAUGCAGCUUACUUCAUAUUUUCUUCUUCCCUUCUCUUUUUGAAGAUGGAAUUCCGGUAAAACAUCCUUUUUUCUUGUUAGCUGCCCUCGACUGGAACUUCUGGUUUGGGGAGCUCCGGCAGUGGGACGUCGAGUCUCAUCUCAGCAGAACCUUCUCUUUUUCCUCAAACUCUCUGAUGCUGAGAGAAAAGCGAACUCUUUCUCAUUGUGGUUUCUAGCAAAAGUGGAACACAUUGAGCUAUCAUGUUGAGCUUGCUCUUCCUAUUUGAGGGUUUCUCUCAAGAUGCGCUGAAAGAUAUGAAUGUAUUGUGACGAGCUGCUCUUGGAUACUUUCUUCGUAAACAUCGAUAUGUUUUUGCUUCCAAUGAAUAGGCAGCCUUGGAUGCUUCUUACCUUUGCUAGGCUGGGUACGGUUCGAUCAAUUGCUUCCAAAUCCUUUACUUUCUGCUCAAAGUGGAGCUUUUUUUUUUGGUGGCUACACGAGUCUUAUGAAAGAGAACAAAUCUCACAAAUAGCUAAUUCUGGUCGAUAAGUAAAGAGUGGGGCAGACGGAAGAAGUUCCUUAGACCACUGACUCACCUGCCUUUGAUUUCAUAAUUCCAGCUCUUCCGGAGUCUAACAUCUUCCGGAUCUCGUCAUUCCCCUCUGCGACUUCAGGCUCACUCAAUCCUUUAUACUGUAGAUGCAACAGCCUACUGAUUGUAAUUCCAGGGUACUUGAUUGUCGGUCUCAUAGGGAAUUGGAUUUGGAUGGGUUUGACUGUGGUCUGGUAGUGACACGUGAUGGUGAUGAUGAGUAGGAUUGCUCAUGGAGUUAGGUGUAAAGGAUAUUAAAUGGAAACGGGCUGGGGUGUUCCUUUAGUAACUGCAAUUAACCGUUUAGCAGGAGCCUCCUUACCAAGCAAGCAGUAUUCACUUCUUCGCGGGAUUACGGGUCUUGUUAUAAGAGAUGGUUUUCCUUUUGCCUGCGCUUUCAGCAAUACGAAAAUGGCUUAGUUUGUUUGUCUUAACCCAUCUAUUCUAAAAUGCAGAAGCCUUACCCUCUUCCUUUUUUCCUUUAUUUUGAGAAAGGCUUUUGUUCAGUCUUGAUUGUGUGUUGAGAAGCCAAGAUGUGAGACAACUAAUAUAAGAAGCAAUUGAUGCACAUCUGAAGUUGUUGCGCUUCGAAGAGCUCUUGCUCACAGGAGAGUUCCCUAUGUAACAGGAGAGUUCCAUAUAGCUUUCAAGUCAUCAACUCGUCUUGUCUUGACGCUGCUUGGCUUCCGUCAAUUCUUUCACGCCUACUGUCCGCGAGUUCGGUUUGUCUGCAAGACUCAAUAAAAGUCCAAAGUGGUUCCCGAACACAGGACAAUGGAUUUAUUACUGGCUUUGCUUUUGGCAACUUCACUGGUUCUCUUGCCCUACUAAAUGAGAUCUUCCGCCCCACUGCCGCUACACUGACUACGUUACUUGCCCAGUGUCUUGGCCCUGUUAACCGAGUAGUUAAUGGCUUAGCGUAGUUAAUGGCUGAACGCACCCGGACAGUCCUUGGAAUGGAUUUACCCCCCUAAUAUUUCUUAUUCCCUUGCUGGUUCUAUUGCGCUUACUGAGUGGACAGACACGGCGGGCUUCUUCCUUUCCUUUGGUGUAAGACUUGCUCUUGGAGCGAGUAAAGACACUGAACAAGUUCUUUCUUCUUAGGGAGCUCACACUGCUUAUGGGCGCUUCUGAUCUUUCUUCAUCUGUUGCUUUCGUUGCCUUUGCUCGAACUACACUGGAAUUUCAAACAGAAACCAACAAGCUACUAGAUAAGGACAAUAUGCAUGCAUCAUAAGGGCCAAGCUCAUACUUCAGAAUGGAAUGGAAUAGCAGUACAGGGUUAGUCGCUUUUCGGAAUUGUAAUAAUACGGAAUUGAAGUGGAAGUGCCUUUCGCACCCUAAACAAGGAGUGUAAGCGGCACUGAAUUCAUGCUUGGACCACUCCCAGAGACCAGACAUAGCCCAUUUGGCGUUGUUUCACUUAUGGUAAACAAAUAUGAUAGGGAAAAUCUAAUGGAAACUUGGAAACUGUCUUUCUAAUGAAUUUGGGGCCUAUACUCUUGUUUGUUUGCAAGCCGUUGAACUCAUGUAAGCACAACAUUCCGCUGCUUGUUUCACUGACAACUCACUUCCUUUAAUAAUGAAAGUAACAAAACGGAGCACUUACUCACUUAGCUAACUCCCUAACCCAAAUCAAAACUUUACUUACGAGCAAAUGUAGUAGUAAUGAUUUGAAUAAAGAUCAAGCAGCAGAUCGUUCUCCUGAUCUUGCUUCUAUAUGAUCAAAGGUGUAAGCCUUAACUACUAGAUGUUGGGUUACCCUUCACCCUUAACUACAAUAAGGACAAAGGCACAGGAUGCAUCAAAGAAAGGUGUUAGGUAUUGCAUAGAGAAAGGGAAUAUUCAAUCAAGAAGAGAUAUAGCUUCUGUAUCGGGUGCUAGUGUUGACGACGCUGAAUUAGGACUUGGCGCUUACAGAGUUAUCAGAUCUUCUGCGCACUAAGCAAUCUGAUAGACUACUUUACUUGGGCAAUCUUCAUGACUAAGAUCUUCCGCGUUAGGGAGUCAUGCUUCUGCGCACUAAAUUCCUGUGAGAGUUGACUGUAGUUCAAAAUACUUCAUUGAUUAUCGAGCAUAGAGUUCCAGUUUUCGGGAGUUUAGCGAGGCGAAAGUCAUGCUAUCAAGAAUCUUAAGUAUAAGGAAAGACUUCAUUCCGUAUUUGUUGAACAAGCAAGGUCAAAUAGAACAAGUGCUUUAGCGAGUUGUGCUUCAUAAGUGGAUCAUGAAACAGAGACCAGAGAAUAAGACAUUGAUUCUUUCUUUCCCGCUGACAGGAGAAGGCUUAUGAAACGAAACCCCACUUCCAGGAACCUCCGCUCCACUUAGAGAAUGGCAAAUCACUUACUUUAUACCUCGAAAGGCAGUUCUACGGCAUUGACGCCUAACAUCUUGACUUUCUACCCGCUUGGUCAAUCAAAUCUCAUGAAGACGAAAACCAUGGCUUCUUUACACAAUCUGUCACUGCCUGUCCUCUUAUCAGCAUGAACGAGCAUCCAAAGAAAGAAGAAUGUUCCCACCACUCUAACGAUUAUAGAACAACAAGCUGCUAUGGCGCACUCUGAACUGACGUUAGCACCCGAUCAAGCAAGUAACAGCUCUCGCUAGGGUCAAAAAAAGGUAUUUAUAGAUAUCUUGUCACGUUGAAAGAAAAGAUAUUGUUGUUGACUCUUUGAUAUUGGUGUGGUUGUGCUUUCUAUUCUUUUGCAUUCACAAGCGUGUUCUGAUCUUGACCCGAAGGUAGUAGCGGUAGCCUUCGUAAGGCAAGAAUGGAAUAGAGGGAGUUGUGAGUUAGCCCGUUAGCUUUGGAGUGAGUAGUGACUUUUGGAGUAAACGAGAGAGUAGAGAUGAUAAGAGUGGGUAGCCUCCGCGUAGAAGUCAUUGCCCCGCUGGAGCAAGCAAAGCAGGUUAGAGUACGGUUGGUGCUAGUGUUGCUUGUGUAUAAGUCUUAAAGUGAAUGAGUUCUUGUGCGAGUAACGUCUAGGAAAUUCUAGUAUAGGGCCAGCAAGUGACGUUCGAGUUGACUACUGAAUAUUUCCAGAAGCCGAAUCGACUCUCUCAAGCUCAUGGAGCGGUGUUGUAGCAAGGGAGCGGACCCACUUAUGCGCAAAGCUGUGAGUCUAAUCAUAUAAAGAAUGUUGAAGGCCCAUGUGACUCCCGAAACCUGGACAACGCGGUUCAGGCUAAACACCCCGCUUUCCAGUCGCCCUGGGUAAACGACUUUGUUAGCCUUACCCUUAACUUAUAUUUAGAUGCGUAGGCUAUACGAACUCCCUUACCCUUAACUUAUAUUUAGAUGCGUAGGCUAUCUGAACUCUCUUAACUGUAACAGAGACCAUGGAUCGAACUCUACCUCGCGCUACUAAAGCAUCAGCUUCAAUAAAAGGCAACUAAAGCACCCGAACCAAACUCUUGAACCUAUGAUUAUCUAUCGUAGCAUGUUCCUAAUUCUUAUCCAGUUUCGGCCGAUGAUCUUGUUCCUACUCUUUGCACUCUAACAGGUUACAUUCGGGGCUUUUGAGUCUGAUUCGUUUCCUUUCCGGGCUUUGGAGUGUCCUCUCCUGUUACUUACUUCCUAUGAACGCUAUAUUCCACAAUUAUUCAAUGAAGGUAUCGAGUCGCCAACACUGAGAAAAGUCAAGUAAGCACAACUGCUAAAGAUCAAGCAAGCACUUAAGAGGAAUGUUCUUUUGCACUCAAAUAUAGCUUAGCUCUCAUACCUUUACCUGCCUGGUACACAAGGGAAUAAGACAUAAAUGACUUUAACUAACAAAGGGUGAACUCCGUAAGCGAGCAGAACGUCAUUACUUAUAGGUUUGAAACAAAGCAGUGAAGUUAGAGUGGAGUGACUUUAUUCUAUAGUGUUUGUGUGUUUGUCAGUCAAAUUCUUUUCAAAAGGCAAUGGAACAAGGCCUUAAUUCAAAGAACUCGCUAACCCGUGAAAACAUCUACGAAGACAGGACUUGGUAGGAGGCAAGGAAGCAAGCUUUAGUGGAGGUAGUAAAGUAGGAGACAAGCAGUCAGAAUAGAACUAAGUAGUACAAGUAUAAGAAUCAUACCUAGACCUAUUAGUAGUUAUCGGAGAGAGGAAGCAAUAAGUACUGAAGAAUUGCUAUCAGGCAAGUCGACAAGUGUAACUGUAGUAGUGAGUUAAAAGAAAAAAAGGACUGGCUCGUAAANNNNNNNNNNNNNNNNNNNNNNNNNNNNNNNNNNNNNNNNNNNNNNNNNNNNNNNNNNNNNNNNNNNNNNNNNNNNNNNNNNNNNNNNNNNNNNNNNNNNNNNNNNNNNNNNNNNNNNNNNNNNNNNNNNNNNNNNNNNNNNNNNNNNNNNNNNNNNNNNNNNNNNNNNNNNNNNNNNNNNNNNNNNNNNNNNNNNNNNNNNNNNNNNNNNNNNNNNNNNNNNNNNNNNNNNNNNNNNNNNNNNNNNNNNUUUGUUUAGCUCCUGAAAACAGUGGAAUCCCUAGUUUGAUCUCUUUGCUACGAAAGAAGUUAUUGGUUCUCUAAGUCGUCAUAGGGAGAAGUUAUUGGUUGGCUUUCCCCUAUAGAGGUUGGUGCUUGACUUUAAUAUUGAUUGAAUUCUAUACCAUCGCAAGUCCUUGCAACUACUACAGACGCAACUCAGGAUAAGGAGUGUUAGGCCGAGUCCUUUCUUCGGGCGAUAGGGAGUUUGCUUCAGCUAGAGCUAGAUUCCAUUAUGUAUUUGUUGACAAGGGAUGAGCAACAAGUCCACCACACCAGUUCGGGCAAGACGAACAAGUCAAAGAAAAAGAUCUGAAUGCCGAUGCCUAAUAGAAAAAGUCAUUAAUAAAACAAGUAAGUAUAAGUAAGCGAGGCGAAAGUAAGGGUUCCGUCAGGGCAGAAGCUGAAGCAAGCAGACUAGUAACUACAGCUUGUUUCAAGAAGUGUUUUUUGCCAUAGGGGUAGUUACGCAAUAGCACAUUUCACUAUUCAUUAUGGGAGGUCAAGAAUACGAGUAUCCUGCUAGUCGAGGUAAAGUUUCAAGUAUAGUAUCUAUUUCUGCUCCGGGUAAAGUUUCUUCUGCUCGAGGUGAAGUUUCAAAUGUUGUAUCAAGACUUUAUGCGCGUAUCGAGUUACGUGAAGCUCGUCUCAUAUAGAGUAAGGAUCCGGAAAUGAUGUUUCUGUGCGAAAGGUCAGGUCAACUGAAAGCGGUAAAGGUGUAGUUCAGGGAAGAAAAUCAUCUAGUAUAGGUUCCAGUGCUUGUGUCUAAGGCUUACGCUCUGCCAGUUCCAGUUUCAUCUGUGUUGUCUACAAGAGAGGAAUCGGUGGUAUAAGUAGGAUAAGUCUCAGUAUCUUUAGAGGGAACAAGAACAAGAUCAACAGAUGGGGGAGCAGGUUAGGAAUAAAGAGAAGAAGCGCUGUACCCAAACUCAUUUAUAUACCUAAUGCUCUAUAAAUAAAGAAUUCCUCAUUGAUAACUAAACUAAUUGCAUUGAAGAAAGGAGGCUCAGGUUCCAAGAAAUGAUGAUUCGUCUGGAGUCUCGGAUCUUAUACAUGUUUGAGCCAAAGAGAGGUAAUUGAUACCGGCAGUCCCUUUCUUUUUCUUGAAAGUGACAGAUAGCCAGCCCUAAAGUUAGGGCCCCGGAGAGGAGAUAGGAUUUCUUUCUCAACUUUGAUCGACCCUUAUUUCCGAACAUUGACCAAUUCUCUCUCAUUGUUACAAUACAGACAAAAUGAUGGCGAGACAAUCGAUAUGUGUAAGUAGAGAAAGACCGGAUGGGCGGACGACUGCUUAUUCUGGACAUCCCGCUCCGUGGAGGUAAGCUCCGAAAGACUCUCUCAAAUCAAUUGGAAAUGCUAUGAGCUUCUUUGUCAAGUCAGCAGUAAUGAGUCAAGAGUAAUAUUUCACUAUUCAUAGAAUAUAGUCCUAUUUUCUUGGAAGUCCUAUUUCCUAUAAUCAGUUAUUUGAGAGUUGAUUCUCUCGGGUCAUUUUAGCAUGUGACUUACCUUAACCCUGUGUACUAGAGAAGAAAGAGGGAAGUGAGCAGCGCGUAUGACUUCCUUAGGAUAGAGAGGAGAAGGAAAGAAUAUGGAUUCGCACAAGAAUCAGACAUUUGCACUAUUUAACCAAGGCAGUGUGAACCCAUGCUUUUGUUGGGCAAACCGUGAUGAUUCACUUUUCUAUAUUACGCCGGCGAUAUCAUAUCAAAUAGAAGAACAUUAUUGACUAUUGCAGAACAUUAUUGACUAUUGCAGGUUAUGCCCUGCCUUGCUCUCUUAUAAGUGCAAUAUUCUAUAAAUUGAUGAAAAACACUCCUUAGCAUUUCAAAACAAACACUCCUUAGCAUUUAAUCAAAGGAUACAUUGCCAGGGCGUGGGGAAAAAGCGCUCAUGAAAGCGUGUAGGAAUAUCGAACCUCCUCUUCUUUGCUUUGAGAGCGCCAACUCUUAUUUCCGUGUUUUUACUUAAGUAUCGAAUUCUAGAAACUCAUAUGAAACCAGCAACAGAAUCAGAAGUUUUAAGAAGGAAGCAAGGCAUUGUAUAGAAAGUGGUAAUAUUAGAUUAUUCUAUACUAAACACAAACUCACGUAAGCGCUUUAGUUACUCAUUCAUUUUGGACUGAUACGCAUAUAAUAGAUGAUUUCUCAAAGAAUCUAUUGCCUAGCUUCAGUAAAUGAUACAGCUUAGCUUGCCUUUUCUUUUUGAUUGAACUAGUAGCUUGGCCGAACCACUUGUUUGUUGAUUUCUGCUUGUUUCAUGCACGUAUGAUAUAAUUGAGUCACAAACGACAGCAUACUUCUGGUUUACUUUACUUGAGUCACAAACGACAGCAUACUUCUUACCUAACUUGACUUCACUUAUUUAUAUCGGCACCUUUACAUCUUUCUAGAUUGAUAUCGGCACCUUUACAUCUUUCGAGGAGGCGGAAACUCUUGCUUUCAUGCCGUACAAAGAGGUCUACUGGGAUUGUGGGAAUAACCCCGCGAAGAAAUCAAAUGAAUGUCAGGCUUAAGAAUCUAUUUAGGAAAGGAAACUUAAGGAACUACUAAGAGCGGGCAGGGCAGCCAAAAACAUAGCUAGUAGGCGCCAAGUCACUGCUGCAAAGAGAAUCUUUUUCCGUAUAGAGGAAAUACUGGUCAAGAGAAAUGAACUGUUCUGGUCCAAACAAUAAAGUAAGAAAGCUUAAGGCAAAUAGAGAUUGAACUCUGCACCAAUAGCUUUGGAAAUCAUCCCAUGUCGUUGUUUGGUUGGAGCUUCUGCCCAGCUAUGUGCUAAAGAAUAAGCUAUAACCUGACCAUACUUCUAGAAAGACCUCAAUGGUACUUAUGGGAGUUUCAGACUUAUAGAAUGGACUUAUAGAAUGGCGCUAAUGAUUGGGCAUUCCAACUGAAACGAUUAAUCCCAACCUUAUAGAUCUCCUCCCUACUUAUUACCAACCAACCUUGUUAUAUCGGGGGAACUCCUCCAUUUCAUUCUAUUUCGGUACCACCGCUUACAAUCGACUCUACAAAAGAAGAGGACACUUUCGUAUAGGCUUAUUCUGAUCUCAUAUGAAACAAAUAGGCUUUCGCACUUCCAUUGAGACAGAAAGCACUUAAUGACCAGUUCCCUAGCUAGAAGUUCCUCGGUAGAUUGAUUCAAGUCUUAUUAAUAUGAGUAUAUCGAUACGAAACGAAACCGAAAUGGAAAAUUGGAUCACGGGAAAGAAAGGGGAAAGACUACCGAUACCGAGUACUACCGAGACAUUAUACCAAGCAAGCUUUGGGGUCAAAUAGUGUAGAAGGAAUUGGUGGUCAUAGAAGAUUGAAAUAAGUCCAAUAGUUGACGCCUUUAAGCAUCUUUCCCAUUGACCCGAGGCGUGCUAACAAAUAGUAGGGGCCCCCAUCCGAGGGACUUUGUUUGACUAUUAUUUCUGAAUAGGGCAAACUCAACCGUUCCAAGUGGAUUACUAGGCCCAUCAGGCGAUUCAACACAGACGAGGGGAAACCCUAAUGAUAAGGAAGAAAGAUCGGAAGACUCAUUAGGACUUGCUUGCGAGAACAACCAAAUGGAAUUGCUUUAUAGCUCUUUCCUAAGAUAUCUUCUUUCUCUAUCUAUGCCCUUAGUCCUCUCUCGAAAAGCAAUGGAAGGCCUUUUAGCUAGUUGAGUUCUUUCAUCGCCCCUGUCCCUCGUAUACUUUCAUUGUUCUUUUUCCACUUUCUUUUCGGAUUGUUGUUCUUACAAAAGGUUCCACUUCCCUUGAAGACGGACAUUUCAUGAGUUCCUGUUUGUUUUAGGAAAGAGCCUCGGCCUACUUGCUUGCCUAAGUUCUGAUGAAUGGGCUCAGGAGAUUAAUGAUCUUAGGUUUGAAUGAAAGACAGGAGACGAACGUUGUCGAUUGGCUUGGUACCGUCACUUUAGAAUGCACUCCUGGAAAGACUCUCGUCCAUAUUAGUUUCAUUGCACGUCCAUAUUAGUUUCAUUGCCCAACCCGCUAAGAUAUCAAACUCAUAGUUAUAGCUAUCGAUGAAAGUGCUAUCUACCUAAGGCAGCCUUAUUCAUUCGAUUGAGUUCCCGAUCGAUAUGAUACAUAUGGAUCAAAGACGCUCUCUCUUAAUUGCAUUCUAUUUAGUGAGGUCCGCUUGGCAUCCGGGUGAGGACAGAUUGGGUAGUUGGGGCCUCAUCCACUUUUCUGCUUCUAUUCUUCUUUCCUAUUAUUGAUCAAAUAAGGAAUCCAGCGCAAGCUUCGACUCAGUGGCAUGGCAGUAGAACCGACCAAUCUUUCUGAAACAAGGGUUAGGGUGGUCCCAUUACGGUGGAUUGGGAAUCAUACAUAAGGUAGAUCCCGUCAGAGUGAGCCGGGGAGAUCAAAAAGGAAAUGCAAAUCCGAAUAAAGAAGGAACUUCAUUUCAUGGAUACAGGGAAGAGAAGAGGGAUUGAAAGAAAGGAAAUUUGUUCGACAACGAGUUGAGUGAUCCAAUAGGCCCAUGUUGAGAUAGAAUGAUCCGAGCCUAAAUAAUCUUCCUUCCCAUCACAAUCCACUAAUAGUAAAGUAAAGGAAAGGAAGAGGCGCCCUUGCCAAGAGCCUGUUCCAGUCAUGGGAGUUUCCCUUACUCCGUUAAUUCGUUAUCUGUCUCACCGGUCUAAGCAGUACCUAUUUCCGGAACUAGUCAAUCGAAUCUUAGACUCGGCUUCCAAAAGUCAAAGAAGAAAGAAGGUAAGACAACGUUAGAUAGCACCCCCACUUAAGCCGCCAGUCAGACUAUCUCUCAUUUUCAUACGAUUUUCGGCAUCAAACAUCACACAUAGGACAGGUUAGGGAUAUAAGGGGAUUGCAGCUGGAGUCAAAACAAGAGUCAAAACUGGAGCAAUUGAAUCCGCCGAAUCCAGAACAAAGGUAGGUUCCUAACUCAUUGGAUAGCAUCAUUUCUUGGUCAGGGAUACCAUCAAAACAAAACGGAUUGAGGAGCCUAGACUUUACAGGGCAUAGGGUAGAUUGAACAGUCCUUUACCUUUAAGUGGCCUUCUUUCUCUUUCUUCUACGGAGCUCUUAAAGAAUGGAUCAGCUCCUAGCGUGACAAGUCCAAGGUAGUCAUGCCAAGAGCGGGCAAACACUGUGAUCGGAACUGCCCUACUAUAACUCCCAAUUGGCCUGUUAGGAUCGCUAGGUCCAUCAAAGUCUAGGAGAAACCCCAGUAUUCCAAAAUGACUCUUGGGGAGCAUGUCGUGGCUUGGGGACAGGAUUUGCACCAAUCAAACGAACUUGACCCUUUAGUAGAUCGCGAGAAAAGUGUUGUUAGGUUCUUUUUUAGUAGCAAGCAAUCGGAGACCUUCCUUUCCUAUUAGUGCUCCUUCCGCUUCCUUUGUAAUUGGACUUCGACGUCCUACCUCACGAAAAUCCAUUCUCCCAGCAACAAAGAGAUAGGUAUAUCCCCAAAAAGCAACAACGAUAUAGGUAUAUCCCCAAAAGAAAAUGCCCAACGGAGGUCUCCCUUGAUACAGAACAAUUCAAUUCGUCAUAGAGUGGAUAAAAAAAAGCACUUAUUUGGCAAAGCCCAACCGGAUCUUCUUUCUCUGAUGCGCUAGUACCAAAUAGACCCGCCGAGCGUACCGGCUACACCUCCAGAUUGAUCAGGUAUACUACUAAGAAUAGAGAAUCCGUGUUCACCUUAUAGUGAUUUCUAAGUAUCCGUUUAAGUGUUGAAUUGUAUUGUAAUAAAGUAGUCAAUUAGAAAAACACCUACUGGUCGAAGUGAAACUAAAGACUAAUGCACCUAUUCAUUUUCAUUUGGAACCUUCUCACUUAUUUCCCUAUCGGGGAACAAAGGCUAUACGAGAAUCUUGAGCUUGAUAGAGCAAAGGAAGUACUGAUUAGCUCUCUUCUUACCCUCUAGGCUAACAGAACUCAAACCUAAAGGAAGUCUCACGCUAAUAAGAGGUUUCGAAGAACAACGAGUCUCGAAGCAGAGCAGCGAGAACGAAUGUGAGAGGAGCGAAGCAGCUCAGGAUGUGGCAUCUUUCCUUCUGAGAUUUGUUUUAGGCCUAGAAGCUCCACCCAGAUGAAGCACUUCGGUUCGGCAAGAAUAUCAGGUUGGAUAUCGAUAAAGCAAAAGAGAAUCAGAAAAGCCCAUUAGCUAGAAAGCCAUAAGGACUGAAACCUAUUGAAUCGUAUCAAACUACAUCUUGACCAUGGAAAGUAGGUAUCAAAACAUUUGAAAGACCGCUAACAGAGAGAUCCUUUCACUUGCUUAUUUCCGUAAUCUCCUCCAUCCCUAUCCAUCCUUAGACUGACCAGAGAAAGAGAUAGCCCGGAUAAUACAAAGACCGCAUAAUCUUUACCAAUAUAAUAUGGUGAACUUUGAAAAAACCAUCUUAAGUGAGAGAAUUGGCAGAGGUAUUUCUAGCUUUUGCUAUAUUGAAAUCGAAUAUAGACUCUAAAUAGAUAGAAAGAUGACCCGAUCGGGCGUACCAUAAUAUCGCUCCAUACAUAGAAAUGCCUACAUUCUCCGCUCUUAUGUUGGGCUCUGCGCUUCCACCUACAAUCGGAAUGGAAAGAGUCACUAUAGAUAUGGUCAACACCCUAGCUUCCCCUACAAUCGGAAUGGAAAGAGUCACUAUAAGAUAUGGUCAAAACUAGAUAUGGUCAACACUCCAUUUUCUGCUUACUUUCUUAUAAUAUAAGGUAUGGGUUCGUUUUUUCGGGUGACUUUUGGGAAGAGGCAUGAGCGCAAUAGUUUACGCGAGCAGGUGAAUGCUUGCUAAGAGGGCUUUUCUUCUUCUUAGGCUGGAUCAAACCUCGGCUUCAUCGGAUGAAUGAACGUCCACCACUCCUACUAUCGGCAUACCGAAAAGCGGAGACUGAUUGGAUUUCUUCUAUCUAUGUAGCCAUUUGUUAAGUCAUAAUUCAAGUGUGGAGGUCAUCCGAAGAAAAACAAUAAAGUAUAUCCUUCCUAUCAGCAGUGUAAGGUGAAAGUUGCUGUAGUAUUGGCUUUCACUAACUUAAUAAGGUGAUUGUCAUAGGACCAACCCAUUUUUCCUUUGAUUUCGGAAUGGGGCCCUCUCCUUUCUGGGUUUUCGCUAGCCUACCACUUUUGGAAAGGCGCUUACAGGACCUGAAAUACCGGCUAUUGCAAGGAUUACGCAUGAAGUGAAGUGAGCUUUCUUUUCGUGUCUAACUAUCACACAGGUUACGAGAGGCAAGGGGGAAUCCUUAAGUCUCUACUCAGAGAAUACGGCCGAAGAAAGGCAACUCGUUAGAGUGACGGGGACUGUAGCAGACGAGAUCUCUCUAGCUGUCCUUAGGUUUGACUAAGUUUAUAGGAGUGAGUGAAUGCAGUCGUUAAGCCGACAAUGCUAGUAAGAUGGACAGAACAGGUAGCUUGCUUCCGAGCCACUUAUACAGUCAAUUCAAUCCCCUCACAUCUUGGCAGAGUGCCCUUAUCAUCUUACUACUAUACCCACCAGGGAAAGCAGAAGGCAUGACAGAGUUAUGGAAUCCGGGACAGGCUCGCAAUACCUUAGAACAAACUUCUCACUUUUACUCGGGAAAGGUAGACCCGGUCAAAUACAAAAUGGCUUAGUCGGCCCUUACACUAGAAUAUAUAUAUAUAUAGAAUAGGAUGCGCUUGCCUAAGAUACUCCUCUUUCAAGGUAUUAGCUUUUUUAUCCAACCAAAAAUAGUCAAAUAGAAUUAGUAGGCUUUUGGAAGGUCCAGCCUCAAUAAAUUCCUUCUUCUUAUUGUUUCGCCCGAGUCCGUAUUGACAGGAAAAUAUGGGAAUGAAAUACCGGAACCGGAGAACUGCUUUGCUUCACACCUAACCCUAUUUAUUGUCUGGGAACCUUCGACCUUAUAUGAAAAUGGCCUUGGUACUUUUACCCUUGGCUAGUUCGCAGAGCCAUAUCAGUGACUUUGCGUUCGACUGUUGCCAACUCGGGUGUUUUUUCUUCCCGAAUACUGCUUUUAUUAGUGAUAAUAAGUGGGCAACCUUCUUGGUUAGAGUUAUAGGACAGCGAAAGGUUCAAGUGAAAGCGUAAGCGAGAGGGACGAAGCGACUUCAAGUAUUGAUCUAUACCUACAUGGAGAGGAAUAAAGAAUAUGUGCACUUUCGGUAUGGGCGCUGACUCCGUUCCCUGGGUAGCCGAGGUUCACUCAAAGGGCCAAGCAACGACUAGACAAGACGGCAAGUAGACAAGAAACUAUGUAUUGCAGUAUAUGGUAGGGGUGCCGAUCAGAAUGAACCUAAGUGUCUAAGACAACAGCCGUCAAGUAAUAAAUCAACUAUGACUGGCAGUACCCGAAUCAAAGUAACACAUAAGAAUUCACCUCAUUGGUACACUCGUUUACCCCCUUCUCGACAACCUAGCGCAGUUGGAUUGGAUAGGAAGUCAGAAUCCCCCCUUACUACUAUAAAGAAUUGGGCAAGUGCCUAUAACACCUAGGCUUCCGUACCCUGCUUGAAGUUUGUAUUUCCCUAUAUUGAUUAAUUCCUUUCUUUGAUUCCCUUAUUGCUUUAUAGCAUUCUCUAACUACUUAUUGGAAUUCUUUAGUGAACCUGUGAGUCUGCCAUUCCUGGCCUGGGGUUUCAACCCAACACUCCGGUCUAUCAGGCUAUACGCCCUUGCCUCCAAGCCAUGACUCCUAGGAGCGAGAAUGAAAUCACGGCUAACAACAAUAGAACACUACCCGCAUAGACUACCUCUAUUACGGAUCAAAGCUAUGAAUAAGGUGCUGAAAGCCUACUACUUCUAAUAUGCUAAUUCGGAACUAAGACUUGAGCUAACAAUAUCAGAAGAAAGAGGUCUACUUUGUUCGGAAGAAACACUCCAACUUGCUCAUUUGAAAUAGCCCCUAUUGAUCUUUACCUUUGAUUUUCUUGCUCGGUUGAAAAAGACCUUUCCUUAUUUGGAGAUGGAAAUAUUAGCCCUUGGAAUGAAUUGGUCCCCCUUCCAGAAUAGGGCGUGUGAGAACGAUAACUUCGAAUACCAGCCCCUUCCACCAAUAAGUGAUCCCACCAUCGUACGUACGGUUGAGGAAGCGCAAAAAGCAGUCAUAGUACUUUAUUGACUUUAUUAGGUAGAGAAAAGCCUAUCGAAGUCUACUCUUCCCCUUCCUUCUAUAUGGGAGCUUGCAUUGAUGCCAUCUUUAUUAGCUUAGGAUCUCUGGGCCGUAAUACUUUGAUAAUAGCCGCCCUUUCUUGCUUUUGUAAAGGGAUAAGUGAUUUCUCCGGCUUUCGAACAAGCAAACAAACAACGGAAACAAACAAGCUUAGUAUAAACAAGCAAUGGCGUUCCGCUCACUACAGCGCGCUUAUUAGUAGUGAGUUAAGCGCUAACGGGAAUUCUUAGCUGCUCUGAUAUUAAUGUUUAAGGAAAGUCAACAGUUUGUUUAGACUGAUUUAUGUUACUCUGUUAUCAAAUCUGGAACUAAUAUGAAAUUCUAUUCAACAAGCAGUGAAGUGUUGUUACGAUGUUACAUAAGUGGUAAUUCCAUUCUUUCUGCUCACAAAGUCAAUCAAGUAUGAAGACCAAGACAAAGGAAUCAGACCUGUAAGCGGGAGUCUAAGAAAAGGUAUGGUUGGUCAGCUUGGUAAGGUAAGUCAGUUUGAAGAGUGAAAUGGGGAGCAAGAGACUCGAUCUGCUCCUAAAGAAAAAGAGGGUGCCCAUACUAGAUGAGCGGAGGAGCUUCAACACAUAAAUGUGAGCCUGGCAUUACCUCAUCCAAUAUUGAUUAUUCUGUUAUCGUAUAUGAUAUUGAAACUACUGUAGUAAGAAUGCGACUAGUACUUCCGGGGCCAAACACCACUUAUGAGAAUUUGACUUGAGAUCCAGAUCCUGUCCUUACUUAGUCUUAUUACUCGUAUUAUUAUACCUAGACCUAUUUAUUGUACCUAGACCUAUUACUCCAUUCCCUCAUCCGAUCCUUAGUAUUAUGUAUUGCACAGGGAGUGGGUCUAUGUUAUUAAUAAGAAAUGCACUAGAACAGCAUUUAUUUGGUGUUGAUGGGAAAUACAUCAUGUCAUACACCUAAUCGAUCUUCUAAUGACCUAUAACACUGCAGUAUCAUAAUUCAAUAAGUAAGUAGAGAACCAAGAGGGUAAACUAGUCCUUAGGGAAUAUUCCACAAGUAAGGCAAAGGCUAGGAUAAAGGGAUAUCGGAUUGGAAGCAAGGUGCUGAAAGCGUUCUAGUGACUUUUCUAAGGAUCUUCAAGUGGCAGAAGAAGCAAUAUAAAGGUCAGUUUAAAGAAGAAGCUGAUACCUCCGAGUUCUGAAAUUGAUGUUUUCCUUGGUCCCCCCCCCCGUUAUCAAAGUUUGGGCUCUCCAUCUGGGCACUCAAAUAAGAGAGCUAUGACCCGAUACUAAAGGAAGAAGCACGCACACUGUUUUCAAUACUAUUGAUUGAUUCUUUCGUUCACAAUCCCUGCUUGAACUGACUUGCUUGGCUCGGCUGGAGGCACCCGGAUCUAAAUUGAGAAGAACACCGAUAUAACCACUGACUAUAAAGGAUUACCCGUGUAGUAGAACUGACCUCAUGCCAUAGGCACUGUUAUCUAAUGGAGGAUUCCCUUCCCGUCUUUUAGCCUUCCUUUCCUGAUAGAGUAUACCUAUCAGUGCUUGGAGUCUGGGUUUACUGUAUAUAAGCCUACCCUUCUUAGCUUAAGGUCUCUUAACUCCUCUUUGCAUUCUUUAGAAGCAGUAGUACCCGCUUGGAAGCAAAGAAGUCAUAUUUACUACUACAACAAGUAAGAUGGAAUACCCGGGCAAUGAAUUCUUAUUAGUGCUGGUGUUGGUUUGAUCCCGGUUCAACUCUUUCCAGUAGCUCACCAUCGUUCCGCUGCCCUUGUUAGCCCUUCUUUCAUUCUACGAUGAUGGAUGAACUAUAUGCCAGUCGUAGUAGUAGUAAUGAAACCAUGACUAAGGAAUUCAAUCAAGUAGUAAAGUAAUGGAAGGAACGUAGUUAGUUGGGCGCAUGUGCGGAAUCGAACUCAGUAGUACGAGAAUCCACUUUUGAAGUUCGAAUUUCAAGGAGUCGUAUUUAGGGCUAAGGCGAGUGUUGAGUAUACAAAUUGCACUUUCCAGUAAGGCGCUACCAGACUAGCUCUUUGUAUCCUAAUCCAUAUUUCUCCUUUUCUUAAUCAGAACUCACUACUAGGUAGGCAGUAUGUCAGAAUGAAAGACAUUAGUCACAGAACUGGUUAGCUCGCCCCUUGCACGGAAUGAAAUACGGAAGUUCGAACUCAACACUACCUGAUAGAGUAGAAACAGGGGUCGGAAUGAAAGAAAGAAGGAAUCAUACUAAUUAGAAUAUGGGCUCCCUAUGACUAAGAAUGAGCAGGUGCAUCGGGUAAUCAAACUCGCAAAUCGGAGUUUCACUCAGCAGUAACGGAAUCCAGGGAAUAAGUAGAAGACCCUACUUAGCUAGCAAGUCAGAAUACAGCUCGUACGGGGAAGAAUAAAGCAGCGCACUCAGUGAAUCAAAAUCAGAAGUCAGGGUACAUCUGUGGGGGAAACUAGGGGAAUGGAACCAACUAGGAGAAUGGAACCACUGGGGAAAAAUCAUUCCACUACUCUCUAUGGGGUUGUGACUCCUGUCUAUCAGAAUUGAAUCACUGCAGGCAAGAAUCCACUUGGGAAUAGGGAUUUGAUCUACAAACAGUAUAUGCCACUCCGAACUCAAAGCUGGCUUUACUUGGGUUCAAACGGACGGACUCUCUUUGGUUGCAUACUGAUCCUAAUGUCACCAAUGUAGCUCAGCUAAAGAAAUCAUCCCAACAAGAGAAGAAUCAUAGACCUUUGCUCGAAUCCAGGAAAUCAAUCAAUAAGUAAUGGAAUGAAUCUACUAUAGACAUAAGGCUGUGACUUCUGCUUCUCAGAAACAAGCUACCGAUGAAUAAAUCUACUUAUAAUCUGAAUUUCGCUAAGAGCUUAGGGUCGGGAAACUCCACUAUUGAUAACAAGGCCGAUACAGUGACUAAAAAGAAUCGAAUCACUGAUAACAGGGCUCGACCCAGGGAAUUCCACUCUAAAGCAGUAGGCUUGAACCGACAUUCAUAAGAAUUUGACUCAUAAGUAGCAGACCACCAUCUAAACCCAACAAAGUCAAAUAAGAAAAUGUGGGAACUACCAUAAUUAUAGGUAGCAGGGGAAGAACCGAACUCGGAACAAGGAAACCAACCGCCAAUAAAAGGAACCCCGCUCCGAACUCAGGCUAUUGCUCGUCAGCUACAUUAUAUAUCUAUUGACUGAAACUGCGCGCUACUACUCCUUCCUGGCAUCCUUGCUUCUCUUUCUUUGGGUACCUCCUUUGGGUACCUCUGCUUAUUACGUCACUGUUGCAUAUCCGAAAUAGACUCUGGAGUAUAGCGUUAUUAGAAUCAAGCUAGUCAGAGUAUUAGUAUUAAGUAGUAAGGUAUUGUAUUGUAAUUCCACUCAGAAGUCAGAAGUCGACUCAAAAGUGAGAAUAGUCGUUAAGGUAGGCAGCUUCGAGGUCGAGGGACAGCCAAAGUCUCAUCAGGCGCCAGAGGAAUCACUUUGAUCUGUUGAGUUCUCAUGGUAAGUUGCUGAGGAGUUAAACGAAUACAAGUAAGGCUCGGAGUCUACACCCUUAUUUAGAAUGGCCAAGACACGAAAAUACAACUCUAAUAAGAAACUUCAUAUAGUCUAUUUUUUAGUGGUUUUCCUAGCGUAAUUAGAGCAAAAACGAGAUGACUCUUUCUGUUUUUUGAUUCUCAAAUGGUAGUUGUUUUCUCUUGAACGAUAGAGAAAGUUGCUUCGACCAAGACCGGAACGAUAGCUCUUGUGCACGACCGACCGAACGAACAAUGAACGAGGUACUACCUUCUAUUCCUUAGUUUAGAGCUAAGGGCUUCCACUUACUUCCGGAAUUCUGCAGUUAAGGUAUGAGCCCGCCUCUCCUAUGUUUUUGUAUGCCUUUCCUGUCUCUCCAAGGCGACUUCUCCUUUAGUGCAGUCUGAUUCCUCUCAAAGUAGGAAAAGCACUACAGGUAAACUGCCUAUAUGCCUGAGAACAAUAAUAAGCCUGAAAUAUUCCUCACUCAUCUUAGACUGAAACUGCUGGCACCUAACGCUGCCCUUACUUUACGGACUCAAACUCACGCCUAUCGGGCUUACUCCCUUACUUUCCAACUAGAUCUCUGCUUGCACUCACCAAGCCAACUAAAUACUCUUAGGCUUAAACUACUGUCUUCCAAUCUUGAUCUCCCCCAUCUUGGCCUGUGACUCCCGACCUCGAACCUUACUUUAUAGUUACAGAAUCAAAAACGACCCUAUUAGAUUAAGGCACUACCCUAUGUUGUUAGACUGUGGUCUACCAUAUUGGAAUGAAACUCAACAAUAAUCGAAUUGGACUCAUCAGUAAAAGAACUAAGCCGGUAGUCCGAAGCCCUAUGUUAUCUAUACAGGGAAAAGCCCUACUAUCAUCACUAGAAAACGGACCUAGCUCCCUAAUAUGCCAAGCCUUAUUGCCUUACUGGAAAACUAGAACAAAAGACCUCCGUCUUGCUUAUUUACCUCUAGCUCUUAACUAUCCAACUUAUUACCUUACACUUCCCUGCCCAAGCCGUACUCGCAGCAUUCCCGUUCUCUUGUGUUAGUCCUUUCGUUCCUAUCUUCUACUCUUUAAACAAUGAUCCAGAUCCUUACUUGACUCAAGAUUCUCCUGCCCUUCUAGCUCUCCAGUAUUUAUUCCACUACCGGGCUACAAUUCCCCGAUCUUAUUCUGACUACCUUUGCUUUUAAGCGGAUACUAACGCUACCUAGGCUUACUUUCCUUAAUGCUAUAUUCUUUAACCAACGAUCUGGAUAUCCUUUCACUAAUGCCUUAGAGCCUAUCCCUCUCUUUGCUUUUAUUCUACAACUACUGACUUCAAACCUUGCUUCCCGCCUACCAGUAUGCUCUUACUUUGUUUUCUUAGUCAUUGCCCAUAUCAGACUUAUGUCAGUAAGUCAGCCUCUCCUUAGCUUCAACUGGUAUUACUGUCCUCUAUUCUCUAUACGUGCACAACACAAUUACGCCCCUUACUCUUUAGGAACAGAUCUAGUCUCCGGCUUUCACCUGUGUCAUUCUGCAAACCAACCUUCUCAAACGGAACUCCAUCUUUGAUUCUGAAAACUUCCCUGCCCGAGCCUUCUUUUGACUAUGUAUCUAAACUUCCUUUCUUAUACUUGUUCCUUCCGCUCUUGUAGCUGACUCUUCAAUUACUUAUUAAGUUCUCAUAUAUUAAUGACAUGCUUUCCAAGCAGAUAUAUAGGUGUAGACAAGGAUAUAGGUGUAGACAAGGAUAUAGGCAUAGACAAGUCAUAACCAAGCAAUUCCGUCUAAUAAUAAAGAAAGGGGUUGAUACCAAAUUGAGCUCAAGUAACAAUAAGAAUGGAAGAGCUACUGUGGCAAACAUACUAUUCUAAAUCUACCUAACUAUAGGGCGGAAGCAGCUUCAGCUUCUUCUAAGACUAAACCAAGAGAAGGGGAGCCUCACUACAGCUGAUGAGACUGGCACUAAAACCUUCGCUGAUGAGACUGCAACUAAUACCUUCAAUGCUCAAUGCAAAAACCCCUAUCCAAACUAUGGCUUUACUGCCUAUGUGCCUGACUCUCCUUAAUCGAAAUCCUUAUUUACACUAGAAAGUCUUACUACUUUCCCUCGCCCUGGGGAACAGGCAAUUCUCUUUGACAACACUCGUACCGACACAAUCCGUUUACGUGCACUCAACUCUGACUUUAGAAGUGCAAUGAUAUUCAAAAAUGACACUAGAAGUUAGCGCCCAACCAACUAAGCAAAGAGACGAAGAGGUGUCCUGUUAUUUCAUUCUAUACUAGAGUAACUCAUUAUCAACCAGAAAUGAAUCAAUGAAAACUUAGACUCGCUUUCUCGCACCCGUACUUGUAGACGAACCUUGACCUGCUCCUGUUUCCUUAUCAUUAUUCUUAUCCUGUUUAAUAGACUUCCACUGCUUCCUUCACCUUAGGAUUCUAUGCUUCAACAAAGUCUCAAUUCCAUGAUUUUACUUGUGCGCGUUAGGAGAGGAGUUGGGCCGUUCGCAAAGAGAUGAUCCUCUCUUCCUUCGAUCGUAGAUGACACUGAUUUACUUACCGCUUCAAAGUUGUAUCGCACAAGGGCUUACUCGACAGGCAAGAAAGGAAUAUCGGCUAAUAAAAUAUUAUAGGCACCCGCUCCAACUAGAAGUGUUAACGCAACUAACCUGCUCCAACUAGAAGUGUUUAACGCUAUUAAAGCACCCGCUCAAAGUCGUUUUCAAAGUGUAGUUCGAGCUAAAGUGUCUGUUACUUAGGGUUCGUGGAAAGAGGUUCGGUGCUGUAAACUCUCCGUAAGCAUGAGAUGAGGCUUCUUAUCCGGGGAACUUUAUCGGGCUUCUCGAACUUUAUUGUUGAAGUUGAACGAUAAGGAGCUGUUUCAGUUCGAAAGUAAGCUUAUUGAAAGUACUUAUUAAGCUUAAGUAUCGGGUGAAGGAAUGACAGAGUAAACUAGCAUACUAAAGCAUAGUCGUGGAGAGGAAGGUGCAGACCCAGCCCAGUCCUAAUUCCAGAAUUAUAGCAAGAAAGGGGAGACUUAGAUGCCCAGUUUCGACUCACCAAGCAGCUACUAAUGACCAAGCCAGGCAAGCAACUACAAGACUGAAUAAGUGCCUAACCAGCUCGAUCUCAUCCCUAUCUGGCUCCUAAAACACAGAUGAUACUGGGGAUCCACUCGGAGAAUAGCUACCUUUUCCACUAGAUCUUAUUCUUACUACUAGAUGCGGGGGCCAAGCAACUACAGUUCCACUCGGUAUUCAGAAUCUACUUAACUGUCAACUCUCCUUUCUGAAGUGUUCUCCUAUAUAAGGGGAAUACCUCAUUACGUAGGGGACAACAGGCAUAGAUCAGAGCCAAACAAUUCUCUCUUUUGUUCUUAGCUUAACACAAGCACCCAACCCACUCAUAUUCUGUGCUAUCGGACAGCAAAGCAACUCUCUCCUCGGGCGAAACCACAUUGAUUCUUCAGGCGAAACAUCGAGUGUCAUCAUUCAUUCAUAGGUCGUUGGUGUACCCAAUCAGUCUUCUUAUAUUGCUGAUGCGCCCAAUCAGUCAGUCUGUUAGCGAACCUUUUGAUGUUGAUCAGGGGAUUAUCAAUUCUUAAAGGAAAGAGAACUCGGGUUGGUUAAGAGAGGAGCGAUUAGAUGAGAGCUAUAGUUUCUGAGAUGAGCAUUAGGCUCGGCUUCCAUAUAGGAUUACUUGAGCACCCAAAGAGACAGACUAGACUAUCCUCAUCUGUGACUCAAAUCUAUAUAAAGCUAUUUCUUAUCUCAAUUCUUUCAUCUCUGUGCGCCUGGUUUUUCUUAAGACGCCGCGCGUAUUUCAUGGCGUUAGUGAGUGGUGCCCAUGUCUCUGUCCUUAUAGUCCAUGGUGCCGUACUUAUGUUAUAUUCAAGGGGUAGGCUGCUUAUAUUCAAAUCUGCAACUUCAAGAAGAGAGAACAAACAACGGAAGAAGCGCUUAGUUUAGUUCAAUUCGCUCUUGUGCUUACGUGAGCUCUUUUGAGAGCCCUUGUGCUAAUGUGAGCUUUCGGGUCGGGGUACGUUAGAAGUUCGGAUGAGGAAUCUAGUUAAUAUAUAUAUAUAUAUAUUACUUUCUUAUCUAUUUUUAUGUACUUGAAAUGAAAUUGGGGCUAGUGACUGAAACAAGCGAGGGAACAAGCAAAGACUAUCUUAUUCUACGCUGGCGAAAGCAAAGGAACAGGAAACGGAACAAGACUAAGUGCUAACCUAACGCAAGAGUCAGGAGCAAGUCUGGUUUUCGUUGACUUUGUUAGUGCUAGUGAAAUGAUUUUCUUUAGAGCCUGUAGUCAGAUAAGAAGUCUGGUUACGCUACGCCAGCAGUAAUAAGUGAUGAAGAGCCAACUGGAAUAAUAAUGAAUACAUAUAUACCAAAUGCAUCAGUCAAAUAUGGAAAUGUUGCUGUUCAGGCAUCAAUGAAACAGUUCAGGGUACGAUAAGAUAAGUUGCCUUACUGAGUUGCCUUAGAUACAGAAUAUGGGUCAUACGGGAUUCCCUUACUGUUACUAAGGUAAAGAAGAAAGAGGUGUUAUCAAGUAAGCGCAGCAAGCGGGUAUCUCGGGCUAAAGUAAGCUACCAGUGCUACUACUAUUAGGGCAGCUAGGCCACCUACUAAUGUAGUUCAAUUCUGAGCUUUGAGUUGAGGUCGGCAAGGGAAGCUAUUCAAGUUGAGGUCGAUGGAAGGUAAGAAGAAAUUCCCAUGGAAGCGAAGCUCUAGUGCUGUUCCUGCCCCUUGUACUGUUCCUGCCCCGCUGCCUUAGCUUUGGCACUGCUUCCGCUCUCACUCAACUGGAAUUUCUGCACUCAAAGCAAGUACUAGAUGAUGACCUUACUUUCACCUUUCUUUCCUAAAAUGGGCUCUCUCUUCUCUAUAUUAUGAUUAUAGGCUACACAAGCAAAGGGUAUCUGAGCCAGUGAGUCUCUGGUUGCUAGUCUCUGUUCUUCCUUCACCCUGUUGAUUCUCGAACCUCUUAUCUGCUUUUUGAACUCUCACCUCUUAUCUGCUUUGUGUCUUGAUACGACAACACUCGAAACGGAACCUUGAGACCCAUCUCUGCCUCUCGAGUCGCCAACAGUAAACUGCCAAUAACGGAUCGAAACGACAAGGAGCUACAGCACCGACAAGAAGUGAUGCUAUUUGUUCAAGUGGUGCAAUAGAACAAGAGUUGUGUAAGAGAACAAGAGUUGGGGGUCGGGGUAUAGGGAAGGUAAUCCUCCAUCAAUCUUUCUUUUCUGCAAGUCAAAGCCCUUUCUUUGGAGACUUCUGCCGUUGUACUGGUCAUCUUUGAAGCUUUUAGUCGCCUUCUUUCCGCACGCAGGCAUUAUUCUUCCUAUUCUCGAUUAGACAGCUCAGGCAGUCUCCAAUCUCUAUUUGCGGAUGGUAGACAUAUAUAUGGACUUGGUUUCGGUACUGAGUGAAAUUGACUACCUGCUUGAAUACCAAGGAGGCUUCCCCCGUCGAACUGAAGGACUAAAAAACGAGGAAUAGGAAAAAAACCUACGCUGCUAAUUCUGGAAAGUAGUUUAUGACUUUCCUUUGUCCUUAUUUUCUAUGUAUUUAUAGAGGUUUAGUGCUACACCGAUGCCUUCACAUUUGAAUGAGUGGCUCUUUAUGCUAUAGUGAGAAGUAUGAGUAUUGCCCUGAGGCGGACCCUGAUUCUCUUUGAGGUUAAUAUCAAUUCUAGGGUAAACAUUGAUGGAGCCGAAGCCGAAGUCAGUCCUACUUUAUUGAUGAUAGGAAUCGCCGUUCUCUUCUUUCAAUCCCGCCUUAUCUGCUGAGCCUAUCGAAGAAAAAGGUUUCAGAAGAAUCAUCAACUCCACGGGCGUUUGUUUUGAUAUUAGAUUCAUUAAGUAUGCUUCACCGAAUCCAUUAAGUCUGAUGCUGUGAAAGCCUUUGCGAGGCCCAGGCUAAUAACCGAAAUUUCGAACUGUGUUGCAUGGCUUAAGGAGUUCUAAGAUUGACUCGCGAGAAGCUGGAAUCUUGCAUUUGUUACCGAUGAUGACAUGUUGGCGCAAAACCCCUUCCAAAACUGUUCGUGCUAUGUUGAAGCAGAGAUUUAUGGGGUGGCCGUUAAUAGAGGUUGAUUCCAACUCAUUAGUCAAUCUCAUACCUAUGUAAACUGUUGAAGCGCUAGGCAUUCCCCAAGAAAACAUUGGAGGAGCCACCUAUCUAGUAUAUAUAUAUGAUUGAUUUUCUUUAGAAUUGUCAAAUCCAGGUUAUGAGGAAUGGGAUGGUAAGAGUCAAUUGCAACGUUGGACCUUUCAAGAGUCCGAUAGUGUUCCCGGUUGUUUUUGCACCGACGACAUAUCACGCUCUUCUGGGCAGACCAUAGAUUCAGAAAGACAAUGCGGUCCGGUCCCGUCGACAUACCAUCAAUGCCGUCGACAUACCAUCAAUGUAUUAAAGGUAGAAGAAAAGGAAAAGGGGAUAGAGUACCUGCGGUGAGCAUACCCUUCGAAAGAUCAGAAAUCCAUUUGGAUGACCCUAUCCAUUAUUCGGAGUUUGCCGAGGAUGGUACGCCCUGGAAAGGAAUAAGAGCCAGAAAACAACAUAAUGACCAUGUCAGGUAACCAGGUUACUAGACAAUAUUGGAAAAACCGCCACUAGGCUUACACUGAGUCCUAAGGACGCAAGUCAAGCUCGUCCAAGGCCUUACCUUAGAUUUCGAUUGUUGGGGUGUCUCUGUAGAAUUUCUCUCUCUAUAGGACCAGUGCAAGUUGGAGUGAUAAGAUAAGCGCUUUCGAAUACCUCCCACGCCUUAGAUAGAGUUCUGUUCCAUUUCGUAAGCGAGUGUUCCUUUUUCUUACUUCCAUUCGCCCCUACAAUUGCAGACUCCUUGUCAGAAUAGUUAUAGCACAAGGGAAAACACUAGCAAGCCAAUUACAGUCUGUCGGUUUUCGAAGGGCCUGUUGGAAUUGUAGUUCUCUUUGCUGUUGUGCCAAGCGAGGGAGUUCUUUGAUAACUAUACCAGAAUUAGGGAUAAGGCAAGUUUUCUCUAAUAGGAUGAACUUUCUCUUGAAGUAGGUAAGAGAGUGAGCCCGUGUCCUCCUCGGGGAAAGGCAAGCCAUCUAGUCUCAGUGCAAAUAAUACCCUAAAUCAAGCUAAUAAGACCCUCAUUUCAUAUACCCCUUUGUUUGAGAAGUGUUUGUGUUGCUAUUAGCAUUUCAUCCAUUGGGAAUUCCCUGACAUCUAGAGUUGAGUUGAAGUGCCUCUUAUUGCCUUUACAAACAAUUGGAAGUCCCUUCCUUACCGUUCGAGGAUUGACUCGAGUGUCUAGAUAUCAGACUAGUUAUCAAGUUCCCGAGUCACAGCUAUUUUCUUUGAUUUGGAUGGGUUACACCUACGGAGCAAGUCUGCUUUUAAGCAUUAUAUGAGUAAGCAAGGACUGUUGCUAACAAGAUGAAGCAUAUAAGCGGGGACAUCCGCCUCUUCGCCAUAGCUAUAGCAUUCUUUACCAUAUAAAGAUGAGUCUAGAACAUCUGUCCGUCAGUCUCCUUACAAGAAAAAGAGCCCUUCCUUUCUUAUCUCGUAUAUUGACUAGAGGCAUAUUCGAUUGAAGUUGAUUCUUUCGGGCAUCUUAGUAAAUCAGGUUAAUCCCGAACUGCUAAGUCCUAUUUCUGAUUUAUGGAAUUUCUUAUUUAUUGAAGAUAAUCACAAAGCAGGCGGAUGAGAAGGUAAGGUGCCAAGGUAAAGGCUAAGCGACGUAUCUUUCAGACCAUAGGUGAACCACCUUUCGCUAAGGAAUGAAUUGAAGACCGCUGGGGAACUUCUUCAAAAAGAUGGAAGCGUGGGUGUCCCCUGUCUUUAUCCGGAACUUCUUCAAAAAGAUGGAAGCGUGGGUGUCCCCUGUCUUUAUCCUAGAGUUAUAUUCAAACACUAUUCUCAAGUGUUUUACUAGGCUUUCGCUUUCCCUUGCUUUCGGGCCAGCAGGGCUUUUUCUACUAUUCUUGCGGCGGGGCGGGUUCCGUCAUUCUUAAAGCGGAGUCUUUGUCCACUAUUCGCUGGUAAACCUAUUCUGAAUCUUCUUUAGGCUCAUGACAGGACUUGCUCAUAACUUGGUUGAAGAUAGGAGAAUGUUUAGGAGUUCGCUAGGGAAAGACGAGAAUCAGCUUUACUAUGACUCAGACUCUUUUGCUGCCUGGUUGUACGUUAUUUGAAUUGCCCCGUGAAGCAUCUGUUGUUGGAGGGGUUCACCUUGAUGGGGUUCGAUUUCGUAGAGCUCGGGAUGGAAAACCAAUCGAAAUGACUAUACGAUUUCGGUCCCUUUAUCCGGUUGGGUUGUCACAUCCACGUUGGCUAUUGUUGGCGAAACAAAUCUGAUGGGAUAACUAGUAUCAAACAAACCCACUCGGUAAGUCAAAAGGGUUUAAGUGAGGAUCAGUGCCCUUCCCGUUUUCUAUUACGGACUUUUCUGCUUACUAUUGAGAAUGUAGAGCACCUGAGGAAGCCUUCAAUCUAACAAAAAGGAGGGUUGAAGCAAAGCCAUUUCGAUGUACAAACUUGCGUUCCUCUAGGAUGACCUUUGCAGGGCUGGGCAACCCUAUGUCUUUCUUUGACCGAAUGGCUUUGAAAGUUGCUAACUCGGUAGUUGCUCCCUAUUCUCGAACUGGAAAAUGAUGAUGAUUAUGACUACUUACCCAUAACUAUACUCUGAGCAAUAGCAUACGAUUCAGUGAAAGACCCUUUUCUUUGGAACCAGACGCUUAGGGAAGACGCUUAGGAGUUAG
RNAcentral lists this long non-coding RNA (85823 nucleotides) under Musa acuminata (dwarf banana). Lineage: Eukaryota; Viridiplantae; Streptophyta; Magnoliopsida; Zingiberales; Musaceae. The record is from RNAcentral.